GACAACCAAAAUUUCAAAUUCAAAUAAUCAGCAGGAGAUCCAAAACCAUACCUCAACUGGAGUCUUCAAGAAAACUAAUUGCAGAUGAUGGAGACCAACAGACCAAAUAGCAGUGGCAAACAAAUCCAACCAAAUGUCCAUAGACCAAAGUUAGAAAGCAUAUGACUUGCCUUCUACAAGAGGGUUCCACACAAAUGUUCUGCAGUGCAUGUGGUGUCUCCAAAAUAGUGUGGUGUCUCAUUAACCAAACUUGCAGAACUUAACAAAUUGGCCCUCACUAAAUUCAACUUUACCAAAAAAGCAAAACCAUACCAAUAUCCAAAACAAUAAAAACACCGAUGAAGAGCAACUGACAUAACACAAACAUACAUAGAGGCUACUAAGCAACUUUCUCAAAUCAUAACAAAGAGUCCUUACAAACUCUUAAAUCUCCAUAUGUAGCAGAGAGAUUUAAGAGUACCCACAACACCAGAUUCCUUUUUUUUUUUUUUUUUUUUUUUUUUUUUAAUUUCAAAUCUGGUGUAGCCAACUGUCAUCAUAGAACAAAGUCGAAGUCGUCAUCGACGACACAUUCGCACUCGCACCAGCAUUAUCUUUCAGUUUUGGGCAAUCAACUUUCCAAUGCCCUUCCUUGCGACAAUAGUUGCAUGUGUUGUUUCUGGUCUUAGACUUCGAUCUCAAAUUUCCUUUAUUACUCCCUGAACCAUAUUCCCUAUCUCUGCCUCUUUGCUAUCAAAGCCUCAGAAUGAGAAUCAUUCAAAUUUCCAAAUACUUUGUUCUUUAACUCUCUUGAAUUCAAAGCGGCUUUUACAUUCUCCAUACAAAUAGAAUCUCUCCCAUAUAACAAAGUUUCAACAAAAUUCUCAUACGAAGGAGGUAAAGAACACAACAAAAUCAAAGAUUGAUCCUCAUCAUUAAUUUUAUUAUCCAUACUUUUCAAAUCCAUAAUAACCUUAUUAAACUCAUCAAGAUGGUUUUGAAUAGGUGUGUACCUUCAGUCAUACGGAGAGUGUACAAACGUUGCUUCAAAUACAAACGAUUGGUGAGGGAUUUGGUCAUGUAUAUACUCUCCAACUUAAGCCACAAACCAGCUGCAGUAGUUUCAUUUUCCAUCUCACGAAGAACUUCAUCAGAUAGUGAUAACAUAAUUGCACUAUGUGCUCGAUUCAAAGCAUCUUCUUUUUCUUCAGCAGACCAAUCUUGUGGCAAGGCUUCCACACCCUGUAGCGCCUUAAGCAACCCUUGUUGAACUAGCACAGCUCGCAUCUUAACCCGCCACAGGCUAAAAUCAUUCCUCCCAUUGAAUUUUUCAAUAUCAUAUUUCACCGACAUAUUCGAAGGUUUCAUAGACAUAUUAGUACAAAGCCCCAAGUCGAAACCCGGAGCUCUGAUACCACUUGUUGUGCGGAAGCGUCAAAUAUGAAACCAAUAAACUAAUACGGCAAAAUAUGACAAGACAAAUAAUCCAAAAGACACAAGGAUUUAUACUGGUUCGGCGUAAGCCUACAUCCAGUUCUGAGACGGCGAGGAAAUUCCACUAAUAUCAAAAGGAGAUUACAAAUAGAGUUUUAACUCUCAAACCCAAAUCUCACAUACACCCAAUAGCUCUCACUCUCACAAAGAACAAAUGGAGAAGAUGGAAACAUAUACCAAAUUCCUUCUCUCCCAACAGCCACAAAAUGUAGUACAAUUAUCUUUGGUUGAGUGAUCACUAACAAAGGGGAUUACAAACAAAGGGAAGAAUAGAAAACAGCAACCUUUCUAUUUUUCUCUCUAAUCUGCCAUUUUUCUUUUCUCGGCUUCUCCUCAAACAUAUAGCAGCUGCUGCCUUGAAAAUACCAAAAGAAAAGCUCUUGACUUUUCUUCCCUGAGCCAACAUCCUAACAAAUUACAUCAUUGCUGCCUUUUCUCUUUUUUUCUUGCUUUCGGCUGCACUUCUUUUCUGCUACCUUUCUGCUGCUUUUCUGCAGCUUGUCUUCUGACCAAAAGGCAUGAAUUGCCUUAUAUAAGGCUGGUGCCUUUUUAAUUAAUACCCUAGCUGUCAUGUGGCUUUCAAAUGGGUAACAAAAGGCCAAACCUAUUUGGGCUUGAGACAAAAAAACUAAAGGCCCAAGAAGUAUUGAGCCACAAAAUCCAACAGCAUCAUUGAGCAUAAACUCGCCACCGUUCGAAAGCUCAACUUUGGAUCCCUCUGGAACUAGAUUUUCCCCAUUGGCUGACCAGACUAUAGUUUUAUCUUUUAUCUUAUCGAACCAAAUGGCUAGUAAGAACCCUUCUUUUCCGAUUCUUUGAAAACCGAUAGCAAAGUCACCAGAUGGCGAUGUCCAUGAUGAUGAGUUUUCAUUUAGUGCAGUGAGAGAUGAGCCUAAAGAAAUGUUUUUGGCGGUUUGAGCUAGGGUGGAAAAUGGUAGAAACAUGAAAAGGACGAAGAAGAGAAGAUUUAUCAGUGGACAAGCCAUGGGAAAAUUACAAAGGUGACGAAAAAUUUCAAAUAAAUUAUAUUUUCUGUGUCAAUCACUUGCAAUUUUUUAUUUCAUCUUCUUCAAGUAUGAAAUAACAAACUUGGAUGCUGGACGAUGAUGUGAUUUCUUGUGCUUAAAUUAGAGGAUCAAACCGCAACAAAGUCAACAAUGAGCUCAUUUUCGUCAAUGGUUCAAUUGACUUUGAUUCCAAGUCUUUUUUUGGAUUCUUCACGGGCAUUACUUGGAAACUGUUUACUUUGACUCUUCAAGAUGUACUUUGUUCAAUUCUGCAUGGCGUGUAAGAUAAUUUAGUUUUCUGAGUAUUCUAAGAUGCAUGGAUGAAAGUUCAAGACAGUGAUAAAACAUUUUAAAUGAAAAUUGUUACGGAUUUGAAGAAAUCAACUUACUUAUAAGCCAAACUUACUAAUAAAACAAUCAAUUGGUAACAUAAGAAGUAAUCUGACAUUCACAACACAAUUUAUCAUGUGUGACGAAUUUUAAAAUCAAACACUAAUAUUGGAUGCGCAUACACGAUGGGACCUCAAAUUUCAACAUGCACAAUUACUCUUUCAACAAAAACAAUAUGGACUCUCUGAAUUCUGAACUACAAGGUUCAAGAUUUUGAGUUUUCUUUGAUCAUGAUAGCAAAGAAACAAACACUUAAAUUAUUGAACUCAUAAUGACGAUGGAUUCGGUGGAACUGAAACUUCAACAGUUCCUUCUGGCAUCUGCGUGACUUUCUUCAUCGUCGGUCUCAGUGACGGGUCCUCUGAAUGUACCACAUUGCAAUUAUCACGUAAUUCUCCAUCAUCUUGACGUCUUCCAUUGCCUCACCGUCCUUGUCCAAUUGCAAAUUCAGCUUCUUUUGCAUACAGAAAUCAUAUGCCCAACAAGCUAGUAUCAGCUGAUCUACAUUAUCCACAUGUUCAUCAAAAUUAUUCCUCCAACAAAUAAUUUUUAGUAACAAAAUGCCAUCGCUAUAAACAUCUACCUUCACUGGGAUAGGCAUGUUUUUUAACCUAUGAGGAUGUGAAGGUAAAAAAAAUCUCACAUUAGUGAAAGGAUAAACCUUGCCACGUCAUCACUUAACGGUUUAUUUAACAGAUUUUCUAACGGAUGUAUAAAAUUGAAAUAAAAUGAUAAGUAAAUGUAUGAAAUUGAAAUGUUUUAAAAAUGUUGUAAGGAAUUGAAAUUGACCCCAAACCUGAAGGGGUAAAAUGUAAUUUACCCUUAACUUUAAUAUAUAUACCAAAUUUGGUUUCAACUCUUGCUUUUGGAUUUAUCGAUCCGCUGGUGGAGGUUGCUUGCAAGUCUUUCAAUCUUAUAUAUAGGGAAUUGCUGAAUGCCAAAAUACCCCAUUUAUCCCCCCACCCCAAACACCACCCAACCCAAGCCAAAACAUUGGGCUAAAAGUCAAAUGCUAAAACUGGGUUAAAUACCCCCCAGGUUCCCCCCACACACGCAUGGACUUGCCUAAAAUAGGUCCAGUCUCGGCCCGCUCACUCGCCGACCUGCCUCACGCAGCCCACGUGCCUUCAUCGCCCGACAACGGGGGGCCCACUGUCAGGGCCGCUGUGGGCCACAUCCCCGUGCCCAAUGGCUCUUUUUCACAUCCAACGACAAGAAUUUAAGGACCGUUGGUUGAUCCAACAGUCCAGAAUCAUUUUUUUUUAAAUGUUAUUUUAAAAUACAUUGAAUCCAACAGCUGAGAUCAAAUAUAAUCAAAUCUAACGAUAAAAAAAAGAUCUAACAACCCAAAUUUAAAUCCAAAUACUAAAAUAAUUAAAAAAAAUUAUUUAAUUGAAAAUUCACCAAAAAACUCUAUAAAUACCUAUGUAUUUGUUCAAACAUCUAUACAAAACUCAAUUUUCUCCUACAAUUCUUCCAAUUUAUCUUUCUACCAUUUCUUUCCAUUUCCAAAUUGUUCAACAUGGCAAGAGAGCAUAUUAGAGGUCAUAAUUGGAUCUAUGAGGAAGAUGUUGCGUUAUGCUUGUCAUGGGUUUCUAUUAGCGAAGAUGAUGCAGUUGACACAAAUAAAAAAAAAAAAAGGUUUUGUGGGAUAAAAUCUUUGCAAAGUUUCAAGAAAACUGCAACGGCGGUGAGAGGGACGGUAGUGGUGUUUACGAUCGAUGGAAGACUAUCAACAAAACAUGCACUUUAUGGAAGGGAAGUUUGGAGGGAGCCGUGGUUGGCAUGGCUAGUGGAAGGAGCGCCGCAGAAGUUGUGAGGCUUUUUUCUUGAUAUUUUAUUUGUCAUGUACAUAAUAUUAUUUUGCAACUAAUUGUUUUUAUGUAUUUUUUGCAUAGGGUGACAAAAGCAAUGGAAAUUUAUAAGACGAGAGCAAAACCAAAUAAUCAAGUUUUUAAGUUGCAACAGGCUUGGGACGUCUUCAAGGAUUGUUCGAGGUGGGGAACAGAUGCAGACCAACAAUGGGGAAGAUUAUUUCAACGUGAAGUUGCACCGACAAAUGCUGGAGAUAAAGGUGUCAAUGAAGAUGUUGCCGAAAUAACCCCAACUCCUUCUUUUGCAAGGCCCCCAGAAAGAGAUAAGCAAAAGGAAGCAAAGAGAAAAGGGAAGUCCCAAGAUCCUUCGAGUGGACACAUUGCUACAGGAAUUACAAAAUUGAGUGAAACCCAUUGUCACAUCCCGGCCUGGGCCCUCACCGCCGUAGCACAAUAUUGUCCGAUUUGGGCCCCAACUACGCCCUCACAGUUUUGUUUCUGGGAACUCACAUGAGAACUUCCCAGUGGGUCACCAAUCUUGGGAUUGCUCUCGCACGAACUCGCUUAACUUCGGAGUUCCGAUGGAACCUGAAGCUAAUGAGUUCUCAAAAAGCUUCAUACUAGGUAGAGAUGAGAAUAUACAUAUAAGGCUUACAUGAUCCACUCCCCUGGGUGAUGUGAGAUGUAACAAGGCAUGGGCCCCCACCACAUCCCGUACUUGACUCCAUUGUAGCAUGAUAUUGUCCACUUUGGGCCCCGACCAUGCUCUCACGGUUUGGUUUUUGGGAACUCACACGAGAACUUCCCAGUGGGUCACCUAUCCUGGGUUGCUCUCGCGCGAACUCGCUUAACUUCAGAGUUCCGAUGGAACCCGAAACCAGUGAGUUCUCAAAAGGCCUCAUGCUUGGUAGAGAUGGGAACAUACAUAUAAGGCUUACAUAAUCCACUCCCUUAGGAGAUGUGGGAUGUAACACCCAUAGCGCUCACCACGAAGAAGCGGCCUGAAUGCGUUUGUAAAUGAAGGAAGAAGGGGAUAGGGAGCAAGAGAGGUUCGAAAUAAAUUUGAUGAUGGAGGACCUCAACAUAUACACUUCAGAGAGGAAGAAGUACUUACAUGGUAAGCAAAGGGAAAUUUUGCAAAGGGAUGUCAGAAGGAGUAUAUUUUAAGAUGAUAAUUCAUCUGAAGGCUAUAUCCCAAGUCCACCAUCACAAAAUCAAGAUGGUGGAUAUCAUUAUUAAGUUUAUGAAUUUUCGAUUGUAUUAAUUUUAUGUGGUUCAUGAAUUGUCGUUUGUAUUAAGUUUAUGUACUUUAUUAAUUGUUGUGUGUAUUAAUUAUUGUUUCUAUUAAUCUAGAUGCCUUCAAUAAUUAUUGUACUUAUUAUUUGACACUUUGAUGUAGAGUAGAUGCCUUCAAUAAUUCAACUUCCAUUCAAUAAUUUAUCCAACAUACUACACAAAAUAUUUUGCACAAGAAGCCACUUAAAUGUAUUACUAGAAAAUACGAACAUAGUACACUUAAAAUUAUUACAUAAAUGCUCAACAACAUCAUCAACGUUCACCUUCUCGACGCCAUACAUGCUCAACCAAAUCCUUGCGGAAUGUGUUAUGACCUUGAGGAGCUUGAAUUUUAUUUAAACGUCUCAUAUACUCACUCAAUGUGACCCUAUCCUAUUGGGUCUCAUAUGUGGUUUUAGCAAGAUAUUCAACAUCUCUUGCAAUAGCUUUCGCAUGUGUUUGUUGGUCAUCAUCCACAUCUUCGUUUGAAUUUUCUUCAAUUUCGAUGUACUCAUCUUCGACAAUUGUGUUCAAUAUGUUAUCAAAAAGCUCUCUUCUCAUCCGAAACCGCCUCCGAAAAUCAUGAGAAAGAAAUCUUGGACGCUCGAUGAAAUAAUCUUUCAUCAUUCGGUCAUGACACUUUUCUCUAUCACGUUGCACAAACGAACACCCAUGAUAGAACCACGAUGGCUAGAUUCGGCAUGGUGCUAAUAUUGCAUAAGCGAGUUUGCAAGUUCAGCUUCGGCGUUGAUCAUUUCAGCAUCCUCAAUGUCAAACCUUGCUUGGUAUUGUGCCAUCUGCAUUGCCCUGCUACGCUUUCUUCUAUCACCCAUUGAUGAGAUAUUGAGGACUUUUAGGAAACAAAAACACUUUGAAAGUUGAGAGAUUGGUGAAUAUAGAGGAUGAUUGAAGGUUGAAAGAUUGGGUGAUCAACUGAUAUUGGACCUGUGUUUAUAUAGAGGAUGAAAGUUGAACGGUUGGUGAAAGUUGAAAGUUUGGUGAAAGUUGAACGGUUGGUGAAAGUUAAAAAUUUGCUGAAAGUUGAAAGAUUGGUGAAAGUUGAAGGCUUGCUUUGUGGAAAUAUUUAGUGAUUUUUCAAUAUUUAUCAGAAUUUAAAUAUUUUUAGAUUAAAAUGUUCAUAAAAUUAAUUUACGAUAGUUUACAUAAUUUUUUUCUUAAAAAAGUUAAAUUAAGAAAAAAAAUUAGUCUAAGUUCAUUCUUUAAUAAUCCCGGGCUAAAAUUUUAGGUCAAAAUGGUUGGAGCAGAAAAACUGUUUCUGGACUAAAAACCAAAUUUUCUGAGCUAAAAAAUUUGGCUUUUAGCCUAAGGGUUGGAGAUAGUCUAAGCGUUAUGUCUUUGAUUAUUUUGUUUACUUGUGCAUGCCACAAUAUGCUUUGAGUCUUCAAGUGAUAAAAGUUUACAUGAGUAGUUUUUAGAUCAAGUGCCGCUAUUAAUUACUCUCUGUCAUACCCAUCGUAAAAGUUCGAGACAAUAACAAAUCAUUUUACUCUUUUAGUCAAGGAUAAAAAUUAAGAAAUAAAUAACUAGCAAUUAAGUAAUAAGGUGCUUAUGACGAUUUAUACCUAGUAUAUCGUGGCAAUGUCCGUACGUAUAAGGUCUGCAUAUGUUUUUGGCACAAAUUACAGCGCUUGAGCCUCGAGUCUAGAUGCAGCGCUGUAAGGUUUGCAAUCGGGAUCAUGCAUUCUACUACUUAAUUUUCAAGUCAACUGUAACGAGUUCCGUCGUCUUCACUAACAACUAAAUAAACGUUCAAUCAUGGUAGAUUUGCAGUUGGAUAUUUGGUAAUUGGGUAAUGGAUGCAAAGUCUUUUUAAGUCUUAAUAUGCAUGCAGGCCAAUCACUUGGAAGCCGCCUUCUUUGAAUGCUUCAAAGAGAUUGAACAUCAAUGCUGUUCUGAGUCUAGUUUUAAACUCGAGUCUUUCCUAUUGUCCAUGGCCUACAACAAGCAUUCUUUUCUACCCCUUUUUUUGGGUUGAAGCCCUAACUAGUCCAAUCUAGACUUGGAAACUCUAUACAGCUACUCUUUUUUGUAGAAUUUAGAAGCUUCUAGUCACGUCUCUUCUAGCCCAGCACUUCAAUGAAAAAGAAACAAAAAAUUGGAUCACACAGAAAACACAAUCCAGAUGUAUAUCGUAAAUAAAACCUAUCAUGAUAUUGAUGAAUAAUGUUACACUUACCGCCUAUUUAUACUAUUUCUCUAAUAAAGGCAAGACCCGUCAAUGCAUGAAUCUCUAUUAGAGAGAUAGUACAAAUUGGUAGUAAUAGUAGCAUUUUUGGAUAAUGCUUAAUAAUACACAUGAUUGAUUUCAACGAUAAUGCAUUAAAGAUUGCAUAAACCAUAUGCUAUGAUAAAUUAUUUGUACCAUAUUAUAUCGACCUUGAAACUACCAGGUAUGGGUCAACUGCGAAGCACCGUAAAUUGACCAAAGUGUCUGUGCUUCGGAGGCACUUAAGCCGGUAGCACACCGGUGCCCUUCGAUACCUAUUUUACCUUCCUUGCAGGUUGUUACACUAGUCCACCCUUGAUCGGAGCACCCUUGCGAAGGUCUUUACACCACACUUUACGUUGACUCGAGGUCCACCCGGUUUCGUGCAUCAACUUUGGCACCUUCUUGGGAAUCAACACUUCGAAUCCUACUCUGUCUUACCAACUUCGUUAAGGUUUUUUUUUUGGGCAAAUUGAGUUCCAUCAUUCGUACAGUACUCUCCUUUGAUCAAGCAUCAUUCUCCAACAUGGGGAGCGAAGGGAGCCACAACACUCAGAACGACACAUCCGCAUGCCAACCGUGAGACAACCAAAGAAGGAAAGAAAGAAACCAUCUUUCUUUGUACAUAUUAAUAUAUUAUGUGUCCAUGUGUUUAAUACAAAUUUUUUCUAUUACAUAAUUAUGCUUUCCAACUAAAUUAACCAAAGCAGAGGUUUUUAUAUGUUGAGAAAAAUUUAGAAUAAACAACUCUAAAUUUUAUAUGUCAAAGAAGAAAUUCACUCGAAAAUUUGAGACACAACAAAAGACUUUAUUAAACUGAAAAUAUUACAAAGAAAGCUCUCAACUCUCACAAACACUCAACACACUAUAAGACUUCUUGUCUUAUUUUCUUCUUCACUUCUCGAUUUCUUGGUUGCUUGCUUACCACACACACACACACACACACACACACACACACACACACACACACACACACACACCUAUUUAUAGGCAUGUUUGCCGACUUCACUAGCACACCAACAUAUGGCUUUUCAUAAUAGCCACAUAUUGUACAAGCUGCUAGAACUUUCAUGAUUAUACACACACACCCAUCAACUUGAUAAUGCUAGAAUUAUCUAGCAUAUUGUUAUGCUUGCAUGAUGCACCGACUUUGGUGCUUGACUUUUCUGGAUUUGUGUAGAAUGGGCUAGGGUUGGACUCUUUUAACACUCCCCCUCAACACCAGCUCAUUCUUUUCUCCAUGCUAAGUUGACGACGAAACUUUUCAAACUUGCCGGUACUCAAACCUUUAGUGAACAAGUCCGCAACUUGUUCAUCUGUAUUGAUUUGUCUCAUCUCAAUCUCUUCUUGCAAGACCUUCUCUUUAAUGAAAUGGUAGUGUACCUCCAUAUGCUUAGUUCUCGCAUGAAAGACUGGAUUUUUCGCCAAGUGAAUUGCCGAUUGAUUAUCACAGUACAAUGGUACUAAAUAAUCUACUGGUUGAUGUAGAUCACUCAUCAACUGUACCAGCCAUGCAUUCUCUUGAGCUGCCAUUACUGCUGCUCUAUACUCUGCUUCUGUGGUUGAUAAAGACACCGUUGGUUGUCUCUUGCUACACUAAAAAAUUGUUCUGGAACCAAGCUUAAACACAUACCCAAUUGUUGAUCUCCUGGUGUUAUGAUCUCCUGCAUAGUCAGCAUCACAGUAACCAACUAACUUGCAGUCUUCACCUUUCUUGUACAAAAAACCAUAGUCAAUUGUACUCUUCACAUAUCUCAGUAUUCGUCGAACUGCUUCCAAGUGAGGCUUCUUUGGAUUUUGCAUGUACCGACCCAUCACACCAACUGCAUAAGAAAUGUCAGGUCGAGUCAAGGUUAAGUAGAUCAGACUACCUACCAAUUGUCGAUACAUCGUCGCAUCUUCCAAAUCUUUUCCUUCAUGUGCACACAUUUUGGCAUUUGGCUCCAUCGGCGUUGAAAUCAACUUGCAUUCGAGCAUUCCAAACUUUUUCAACAAAUCUUUGGCAUACUUCUGUUGACAGAGAAAUAUUCCUUCUUGUGUGCGAUCAACCUCUAGACCAAGGAAGUGCUUGAGUUGACCAAGUUCCUUCAUCUGGAAACGAACUGAUAAAUUCUCCUUCGUCUGAAGAAUUUCUGCCUCAUCAUCUCCGGUUAUGAUUAAGUCAUCCACAUACACUAGCACGAUAGCUAGCUUUCCUUCAUUGGCUUUGACAAACAGGCUGGAAUCUGCAGGUGUUAGUGAAUAACCACUUUAUGUUAGAAAUUCAGCAAUCUUACCAUACCACGCCCUGGGUGCUUGUUUCAAUCCGUAGAGUGCUUUCCGCAGCUUACACACAUAUUCAGGAUGAUCUUGGCUCCGAAAUCCCAUUGGUUGGAUCAUGUAGAUCUCCCGAUCCAGCUCUCUAUGAAGAAAUGCAUUAUUCACAUUCAUCUGCCACAGAUUCCAGUCUUUGUUAGCUGCAAGUGCAAGUAGGACUCGUACUGUUGUAAGUUUCGCCACUGGACUAAACGUUUCAUCAUAGUCUAGUUCGUACUGUUGAGAGAAACCACGAGCUACCAAUUGUGCCUUGUACCUCUCGAUUGACCCAUCUGGACGUCGCUUUAUCUUGUAAACCCACUUGCAAGAUAUGGGUUUCACAUCUCUUGGCUUUGGCACGAUAUCCCAAGUCUGAUUUUAGUGCAUCAAUAUCUUAUUUCAUAGCUGUCGUCCACUCAGAACUCUGCGAUGCUUCUUCGAACGUCUCAGGCUCUGUUGCUUCUUCAAUUAUGGCUGCAUUGGCGUAUUUAGGAUUUGGCCUUUGUGUUCUUGUUGACCUUCGAAGUUGAGAUUGUGGAGUUGACUUUUCCGUUUCACUAGGCCCACCUUCCUUCGUUUGGUUGUUGAUACACGCCAGUUUGCCAAGGAUUUUGAGCCACUAUUUGUUCAACAUCAUCGCCAUUUGGAUCUCCUGCUUCAUCUGAACUUGGAUGGAGUUGGAUAGUAUGCUCCUCCAUCUUCUGUUGCAGCUUUUCUCCAAAUUCUCUGAAGUCUGGUAGCACCUCCUUCUCUGAGGACCACCAAGAAAACGCUUCAUCAAACACCACAUUUUGUGAAGUGUAACAUCUUCCACUUGUUGGAUCGCAACAUUUUCACCCCUUUCUUUGGCUGUCGUAUCCCACAAAGAUACAUCUAACAGCUUUCUUGUCAAACUUGCUCCAUAAAUGAUUAGGAACAAAUACAUAACAUACAUAGCCAAAUACUCGAAAGUAGCUAACUGUAGGUUUCAUGUUCCACAGUUUCUCAAAGGGCAAAACAAAUCCUAACCUCGGUUGAGGAAGUCUAUUGAUCACAAAGGCUGCAGUCCUUAUUGCUUCAGCCCAAAACCUUCCUGGUACGUUCUUUGCAUAUAGCAUACUUCGAAAAAUUUCUGCAAAAUGCCGGUUCUUUCUCUCAGCUACACUAUUUUGUUGCGGUGUGUUGGCACAAGUGUAUUGAUGACGUAUUCGGCAUUCCCUUAGGUAUUGAGAGAACUCGCUUGAGCUAUAUUCUUCUCUGUUAUAUAUGCGUAUGCAACAGAUCUUCUUUCCCACUUCUCAUUCGGUUUACUCUCUGAACUCUUUAAACUUUGAGAAUGUGUCAGAUUUAUCUUUCAUAAAGAAGACCCCACACAUACCUUGAGAAGUCAUCAAUGAAUGUUACCAUGUACCGCAUACCACCAAUUGAUGGUUGCUUAACUGGUCUGAACACAUCAGAGUGAACUAACUUUAAUGGUUCUUUUGCUUUAAACUUCGAUUCCUCAUAUGGCAAUUGGUGUGCUUUACCAUACUGGCAUCCCGCACAUACUGUGUCUAUUCGCACGUCAAGUUGAGGAAGCCCCUUAAGCAUCGACUUUUUCACCAUCACACUUAGCUUGGAAUAGCUAACGUGACCUAACCGCAUGUGCCAUAGAUCUGAUGUCUCAUUUUUCCUUGUCCUAUCUACAUAUGCAGAUUCUGCUGACAUUACGUAGACUGACUCCAAUCGUCGCCCCUCCAUUGUUGGUAUUUCUGAGAUUUUGAGGUCACGAUACACCUUCACAUAUCGUGGACCGAACAAGACAUAGUGGCCUGAUGAUGUCAAUUGGGCCACAGAUAGCAAAUUUUUUUCAUUCCUGGGACAUGAUAAACAUCUUGAAGUGGCACAUGGUUAGAAUUAUAUCCAGGCGUAACUAUCGUCUUACCGAUGUAAGCUAUCGGUAACUUUGAGUUGUCGGCUGUCACCACCACACGACCUCCCUUGUAUUCAGAUAGGUUUUGCAACUUCUGUUUAUCACCCGUCAUAUGAUUUGAGCAGCCCGAAUCUACGAUCCAAUCAUUUUUGUAGUCAAUCCGUUCUUGUGUUGUUACCGUGAGGGCUAAUUCUUCUUCCUCCAUAGCGAAUAAUGCUUCAGUAUCCCAACCAUCUUCACUAUUCUCCUUUGAACUAGAAGUAGCAGUAUUACUUUCAACAUGCUUUUUCUUGGUCCAACAAUCUUUCGCCAUGUGGCCCAUCUUCCCACAGUUGUAACACUCGCCAUCAAACUUUUUACUAUUACCGCGAUUCUUUGAAGCUCCCCCUGGAUGAGAGCCUCCCUUCCUUGGUGACUUUUCACCUUGUCUUCAUCCUUUUUAGAUCCACCACCAGUGUACUGCUUGAAAGUGCCUUUGCUUUUGCUGGUGUAGAGCGUUUCCUCUUCACCCUUCAGCAAGACUUCUCCCAUUUGCUUGGCCAUAACUUCUUGACCUGCAAGCAAGUUUUCAAAGUCAACAAACGAUGGUUGUGUCGGCCAUCCCUGUAUAGCGGCAAUGAACCCUCGAUAUUUGGGUCUCAAACCAUCGAUAAUUAUUCUCUUCAUCCUGGUUUCCCCAAUAAGAGCUGUUGGAUCUAACUCUGAAAUUUCGCGGCAUAUCGACUUCACCUUGUGAAAGUACUGGGCAAUCGUCGUGUCGCGUUGCGCCAUCAAUAGCAACUCGUUCUCGAAAAGUUGUAAUCUUGUAUCAUUCUUCUUUGAAAAGAGUGUAACAAAAGUGUCCAAUGCUUACUUUGGCGUUUUGGCAUCCCGGAUGUGCUCCAAGAUUUCUUCUUCAAUUGUGGUCUUUAAAGCAAACAUUGCUUUGCUUGCUUUAAUUUUCCACUUUCGCAAGAUGCCAUUGACAUCUUCUGCCGCCGGUUGUGUAACCUCACCACCACCGACAACCUCCCAAAGGUCCUGACCUUGUAAGUAAGACUCCAUACAUGUUGCCCACGUAUUGUAGUUUUUGUUGUUGAGCUUCUUGAUUCCUCCAACUACUUGAAGGUCACCCAUCGUGCCGGCAAGACUUCGACUAUACCGAUCAAGCUUGACUAACAAACUUGCAGAGUACCAAACUCCUCACGACUCAAGAUAGCUCCACCAAGAACGAUCCCUGACCGAACCUGGCUCUGAUGCCAAUUGUUGAGAAAAAUUUAGAAUAAACAACUCUAAAUUUUAUAUGUCAAAGAAGAAAUUCACUCGAAAAUUUGAGACACAACAAAGGACUUUAUUAAACUAAAAAUAUUACAAAGAAAGCUCUCAACUCUCACAAACACUCAACGCACUAUAAGACUUGUAGUUUUAUUUUCUUAUUCACUUCUCGAUUUCUUGGUUGCUUGCUUACACACACACACACACACACACCUAUUUAUGGGCAUGUUUGCCGACUUCACUAGCACACCAACAUAUGGCUUUUCAUAAUAGCCACAUAUUGUACAAGCUGCUAGAACUUUCAUGAUUAUACACACACACCCACCAACUUGAUAAUGCUAGAAUUAUCUAGCAUAUUGUUAUGCUUGCAUAAUGCACCGACUUUGGUGCUUGACUUUUCUGGAUUUGUGUAGAAUGGGCUGGGGUUGGACUCUUUUAACAUUAUAUGCUACCAGCUUUUCGUUUUGCAUAUCUAAGUCCUUAAAUCAGCUUCAUCUCGAACGUGAAACACCAGGAUAGUUUUCCGGCUAACUUUACAUGGUUUGAGAGGUUCUGCAGUAGGUGAGAAAGCUUGGAGUUUUUGAAGUUGCUAUUGAGAAAGACUGGAAGAACGCGUAAGCCAAAAAAAUGAGUAUGGGUUUUAUGCCAUUGAUAAUUCCUCUAUUUAUUCGGACAUUUUAAGAGAAUUAUUGUACAUUCGAUACUACACAGUACAUUAAGAACUAAAGAGUAUUUGAAAAUAAAUAAUACACAAACUUUUGAUAUACAAAAGAAAUGGAUUACAAUUGGAAGCAGUUAAAUUAUUGAACUUAUGAAAGAACAUGGAUCGGGUGGAGCUGAGACUUCGACAGUUCCUUCGAGCAUCAAUGCAACUUUCUUCAUGGUAGGCCUAAGCGACGGAUCCUCCUGAAUGCACCAUAUUGCAAUCAUCACAUACUUCUCCAUCUUCUUGAUGUCAUGCAUUGCCUCAUCGUCAUUCUUGAAUAGCUGGUGCAGAUUAUUCUGCUUAUAGCAAUCGUACGCCCAAUCAGCUAGUAUCAUUUGAUCUUCAUCCUCUGCCGUUGGCUCAAAAUGCUUCCUGCAGAAAAUAAUCUCUAACAACAAAAUUCCGAAGCUGUAAACAUCAACCUUGGCCGUGAUAGGUAACCUAUUAAACCAUUCAGGGGCCACAUAACCUUUCGUUCCCCUGAUGCCAGUCGUGGUUCGAGUCUGAUCCAUUCUCAAAAGCUUGGCCAUUCCAAAGUCAGAAAUUCUUGCCACGAAAGAGUCAUCGAGAAGAAUGUUUUGAGGCUUGAUGUCACAGUGUACAAUUUGGCUGCAGCACUCCUCAUGCAAAUACAACAACCCUCUUGCAAUUCCCAGUGCAAUUUUCCUUCUCUGGUACCAGCUUAGCCUCAACUCUCCAAAAAGGAAGCUUGCUAAAGAUCUGUUGCUCAUGAACUCAUAGACAAGCAUUCGGUGCUCUCCCUCGUAACAAAAUCCAAGUAGCUGUACUAAAUUUCUGUGGUUUGUUCUGCCAAUAGAACUCAUUUCCGCUUUGAAUUCCAAAUCAUUUUCUCCGACCCUAGCGACUAAGCUUUUGACUGCAACGCUCUUCUCAUUAUCAGUAGCUAAAACUCCUUUGAAAACUAUUGCAGAAGCACCGCGUCCUAGUUCAUCCUCGAAUUCGUUCGUAGCGUUUCUUAGCUCCUCGUAAGUGAAAUGCUUCAAAUUCAUAUCAGAGAUGACUGGAUAAUUAGGUUCACUCAGAUUCACUUUUCUAUAAGAAAUACGAGAAACAGCCAAAUAGGUUGUUAAUAGCAAAAUCAAGUUCAGAAACCCCGAGCUACUCAGGAGCACUGAUCCGAUGAGGAUCAAGGUCGAGUAAUCUUUCUUUUUUGUAUUUGGAACUUCAGGUAUAAAUGUAGAGUUGUCUUUCCUUACUUUGACGAGAGCUUUUCCACCAAUACUCGGGUUCAUUCUUCCAUUCGAAAGAGGAAUUCUCUUCUUUUCGCACUCUCCAUCCUUGAAAAUGGCAACGACACAAAAACAAUCGUCUAAGCAAUUCUGUCUGCACCAUUCCUCCGGUACUGAUGUAAAUUGCUCAUAACCACCGCCAGCCCACUCUGUGUUUUGCAUCUCGUGAAAAUCAAAACUCUCUGUCUCCGGCAAGGCCUCAUCACAACUUUGUGAAACAAAGUUUUGCUUGCAUCCUUUCAAGAUAUCAUUGGGAUCAAUAAAUGUGUAGCCAUAAGGACAUUGGCAAGUUGGUCCUUUAUCAUCAUAACUGCAUAGGCUGUUGUAUCCACAUGCACCGCUGCCUGUGUCUCCUCCAAUUCUUAAGCAAAUAUCCGAAGGUUCGGAGGUCAAAGGGGACCAAGCCAUGGGGCUUCCGGCACUUGAGGCAGCAGUUUUAGGAUGAACAGAGUGCCUCAAAACUCCGUCAUGCUCCAGAGUUACUUUAUGGUAGAAAUUUUGCAUGGAAACUGUGUUGGAUGAUACCAUAUUCAGUAUGCUUCCGUUCUUUGCAGUAAGGUAAAGAUAGCCGGACUGAUUGAAGAUGACCUGAAAGCCGGUAGACAUAGUCAUGGUUGCAUAGUAAGCAAAAUUGUUUGUCGGCAGUGGGAAUCUCGUUGUGUAAAGCAAGAGAUUUCCGUCAGAUUGUAGAAUAAACAUGAAUCUUCCCCGUGAGUAGUUUGUUGCCGUGUAGCGCGCAAAGAGUAUGUCGUUCUGAUUUAGAAUCUGUGUAGGUAGUAUUGUAUCCGUUGGUUUAUCAAAACUCUCCCACACAUUGGAUGAACUUCGAUCUGCCAGUACAAAAUUUCCAGUGUCUAGCAUGGAUCCAUAGGCAACUCCAGGACUAACAGAUUGAGCAGACCAUAUGCGCUUGCCGGUAGCAUCAGUGAGCAUAAGCUCGCCACCGAUCGAAAGCUCAACUUUGGAUCCCUCUGGCACUAGAUUGUCCCCAUUGGCUGACCAGACAAUAGUUUUAUCUUUUAUCUUAUCGAACCAAAUGGCUAGUAGGAACCCAUCUUUUCCGAUUCUUUGAAAACCGAAAGCAAAGUCGCCAGAUGGCGAUUUCCAUGAUGAUGAGUUAUCAUCAUUUAGUGCAGUGAGAGAUGAACCUAAAGAAAUGUUUUGGAGGUUUGAGCUAGGGUGGAAAAUGGUAGAAACAUGAAAAGGAAGAAGAAGGGAAGAUUUAUCAGUAGACAAGCCAUGGGGAAAUUACAAAGGUGACGAAUUUUUUUUUCAAAUAAACUAUAUUUUCUGCGUCAAUCACUUGCAAUUUUUUGUUUCAUCUUCUUCAAGUAUGAAAUAAAAAACUUGGAUGAUGGACGAUGAUGUGAUUUCUUGUGCUUAAAUUAGAGGAUCAAACCGCAACAAAGUCAACAAUGAGCUCAUUUUCGUCAAUGGUUCAAUUGACUCUGAUUCCAAGUCUUUUUUUGGAUUCUUCACGGGCAUUACUUGGAAACUGUCUUUUGACUCUUUCAAACUUUAUGUACUUCGUUCAAUUUCUGCAUAGCGUGUAAGAUAAUUUAGUUUUCUGAGUUUUCCGUGAUGCAUUGAUGAAAGUUCAAGACACUAAUAAAACUUUUCAAAUGAAAAUUGUUACGGAUUUGAAGAAAUCAACUUACUUAUAAGCCAAACUUACAUAUAAAACAACCAAUUAUCAAUUGGAGGAGUAACUCAACUUGCAUAUAAGUUCAUGUAAUGUCUCUUUUCUCAUCAAGAAUGUGGAUUCAUUCUCAAUACACUCUCUCACGUGUGGCGAAUUUUAAAGCCAAUCACGUAGACAACACAAACAUGAAGACGUGGAGCGCGUGAGGUCGUUGCGCUUCACACGUUAGACAACCUGUUAUGAUACCAUGAAGAAAAUUGAGGUUCCACUAUAAAACUAAUUGGCAAUGUGAGAACCAACUUAAUUAUUAGUCUAUACAAGGUCCCUUCUUUCAUUCAGAUGAGAUUCAUUCUCAACGUAAUGUUCCUAUCGAGAGAGGUAAAAAUAUAUGAACUAUCAAAUCAUAUUAGUCUAUUUUGCAAAGUGCAGAUGACCAAAUUUGGUUAUUUGAUGUACUGUGCAGAGUGACAAAUCAUAUUACUCUAUUUUGUCAAGAAUAAAAUUAUAAUAUUAACUAUCAAAUUUACUCAACUAAAUGUCAAAGUGCACAUGCGAUAAGUAAGGUGCGUAUGAUAUAAAAUUUGAGUUAAACCAAAUUAACAAAUAUUUAAUUUGAUGAGCAUGUUUUUUACAAUAAUUUAUAUUCCUAAGAUAUAUACAUAUUUGACGGAAUUGGAUCCCCUCCUGAGCAAAUGGUGGGGAUCCUCAUGACCCACUAACAAGGACCGUUGAAUUUUGAUCUAACGGCUACAAUUAUUAUAACUUUAGAGGAACCCCUUGUUUGUAGCCGUUGAAUCAAAAUCCAACGGUCCAUGUUAGUGGGUCAUGAGGAUUCCCACUAUUUGCUCAGGAGGGGAUCCAAUUCCACAUUUGACCUUCUUGUUACAAAUUUAUACGUAGUGCGUACGCAAUUCACAAUCUUGAAGGAUUUAUUGACUGAUUCAUGUUGAAUAGGUCGCUGUUGGAAUAUAAGUAUAGGUUAGGUCAUAGUCAUCACUUUAUCUCUAGUUGUGAGAUUAGUUGUGGUCACCACCUUACUUUACUCAAGUUGUAGUCAACAACUUCUCUUCCUUGAUGUAGGGCUGCAGUCUUGUUUUAUCUAAUUAGUUUUGGUCCAGCAAUUAGGGCAUAAUUUUGGUAAUGGUUCUCCACCAAGUGAACGCAUUCUUUUCGGAUAGUCACCACUCGUCAAUGGGUCUUUAAACCUACAAAACAGGGAAUUUCCAAGCAUAAUAUCAUUUAAUAUUUUUUUGGGAACUUUAACUAAAAGCACCUGGUACUGUUCACUUUAACGAAAAACCACAUUUUUACACUAAAAAAUCAAUUCUGGUACUAUUCACUUUACCCUUUAUUUUGUCCUUAUCAUUAAAAUUCAAAGUUUUCAAGCCCUUUUUCAUUAGCUUUAUAAACUACUGCUAGCUAUCCAAUUAAUAAAUAGAUUUUUUUUUAAAAUAAAUAGACGUUAAUUCAGUUGAUAUAUAAAUUGCUAUACAACUUGCCAUCCAAACAUAAAAUUCAAAGACCAUGAGGCAGCAUCUUUAUCAUGGUGUGAAUCUAAAGCAGCCUUAAUCCAGUGUGUAUUCGGUGCCAUUUCUAUCACGCCUUUUUAAAUUGGCAACAUAGAGCAUGAACUUUGCGUUUUUUAAAAGGAAAACUAAUGAAAAUGGCUUGAAAACUUUAAAUUUUAAUGAUAAGGACAAAAUAAAGGGUAAAGUGAAUAGUACCAUGAUUGACUUUUUAGUGUAAAAAUGUGAUUUUUCGUUAAAGUGAACAAUACCGGGUGCUUUUCAUUAAAGUUCCAUUUUUUAAAUACAACAGGAGUGGGCUAUAUGCUCAUAGGCCUUUGUGAGGCGCACCUAUGAGCCUGAGGUGCGUUUGAGGAGUUGUCGAGGAGUCGUCUGGGCUUUGGCCUAAAAUGAUGUUGUUUUGGGCAAGGUUUUUAUAAAGAUCAAACUCGUCGCUCUCAUCUCAUAGUCUCACUUCGUGAAGGCAUGAAAGCACAUACAGGAGUGACGUCGUCAACCUCUCCAGUCUUCUCCCACCUUUCUUUACUUCAAAAUUUCAAGUCUCAAGAUCAUUAUUGCUUUAGGUUUAAACCUUGGAUAUUAAUUUGACGUGGAUUGUCUUGACUUUUUAUUUUUUAUUUUUAUUUUUUUAUGAAAGCAACGAUAUUGAUUCAUUGAUAAAAGAUCAGUACAAAAGGGGAAGCCGGAGCAAACAUGAGCUUAGGCAUUACAUUCAGAAAAUAGAAUAUCAUUGAUAAUGUCUGGUGGUUCCUCGAACCACGAACAAUUGCAAGAACUGGAUUGUCUUGACUAUUAUUUGAAUUUUAUGUUUGUUUUUUGCUUAAUUGUUUGAAUGACAAUGAAUAUUUGUUUUACAUGAGUAUCGCCUAGUGUGAUGAUGGUGAUUGUUGAUUUGAAUUUUAGGUACCUAAUAACAUAUGUAAAACAAUACUCACGGUACAUAAUCAAAGCGCAAAAUUAUAUGGGUGCGUUUAUUGUAUCGGACUAUCUGACACGCCCCGAUCUCGAUAUCUCCAAAUAUCAGGAUAUGCAAGUGCUAACUGACACCCGAGGGUGACGAAACCAUUUUAACAUGCAUGCAAAUUAAAAUAUGUGAUAAAAAAAGAAGGGCAAAAGACUGUUUACUACCCUCAUGUUUCGUGGUUUUCAACAUUUAGUACAUCAAUUUUUUUUCGUCUCAGAGUCAUACCUAAAGUGUAAAUUUUGGGACAGUCUCAUACAUCCGUUAGUCAAACUGUUAACUCUGACAUUAAAUGAUGACGUGGCGCCCACGUGGACAAUAAUUGGGCGCCACGUGUCAUUAAAAAAAAUUAAAAAAAAUUAAACUAUUAAAAUAAUUAAUUAAAUAAAAGUUAUAAAUAAAUUUUAAAAAAAAUUCCCCAGAUUCUCUCUUCCCCACCCGAUCCCCCUCCCUUCUCCCUCUGCACCUUUGCACAUCUUUCCCCCUAUGGACCUCUGCUCAUCCAUCAUUCCCCAAGUCCCUCUGCACCUCUAUCCUUCCCAGAACCCCUUCGUCUUCCGCGACACACACACCCACAACCCUUCGUCUUCCUCCACGGCUCCACGGCUCCACCCCUCCACCUUCUCCUCGUCUUCCUCCAUGGCUCUACCCCUUCCACAACCCCAGCGUGGGCUCGCCCUCCAGCCGCAGUGAGUAGACCAUGCCCACGCCUGCCAGCGACAACAGUUUUCUUCGAUUGAACCAUCCCGACGUUCACGGCGAUGACGCUAGCUCCCAAGGCGUCGUUGGGUCAGUCACUUCCUUCCCUCAUUUCUUUUUGCUUCAGGUCUUAUUAGGGCGCAACAAACAUAUUUUCCUUUUCAUUUGGACACUUUCUCUGUGAUUUUCUCGGAAGCCAAACGCUCUCAACGAUGGCCGAUCAGCUCAUCGAUGACCAGAUCUCCGUGUUCUAGGAGGCGUUCAGCCUAUUCGACAAGGACGGCGAUGGUCUCGUUCUCAGAUCCCUCUUUCUCUCUUUCCCUUUUGUUCUUAUUAUGCCUAAUUAAUCUAUGAUAUUUGGAUCUAAAGCUGUUAUUGCAUCAAACCUUAAUAUUUUUUUGGUGAAAAUUUGUGAUUGAUUGAGUAUUUUUCAGAGAUUGAAUUGAUUUAUCAUCCUUCGAGUGCGUUUUGAUCGUUGAGGAUAAGAUCUGUUAGAUUUGAGGUUAAAUGUGUGGAAUUUAAAUAUAUGGAUAGAUCAUGAUUCUCAUAUUUGUUUCCCCAUUGUUUGGAUUAUCCAAUUUUUGGUAAAAGUGGGUUUUUAAUUCAAUUUCUCUGCUAUGGUCUACUCACUGCGGCUGGAGGGCGAGCCCACAUUGGGGUUGUGGAGGGGGUGGAGCCGUGGAGGAAGAUGAAGGGUUGUGGGUGUGUGUGUUGCGGAAGACGAAGGGGUUUUGGGAAAGAUGAAGGUAUAGAGGGACCUGGGGAAGGAUGGAUGAGCGGAGGUCCACAGGGGGAAGGAUGUGCAGAGGUGCAGAGGGAGAAGGAAGGGGGAUCGGGGUGGGGAAGAGAGAAUCUGGGGAAUUUUUUUUAAAAUUUAUAUAUAACUUUUAUUUAAUUAAUUAUUUUAAUAGUUUAUUUUUUUUAAUGACACGUGGCGCCCAGUCAUUGUCCGCGUGGGUGCCACGUCAUCAUUUAACGGCAGAGUUAACAGUUUGACUAACGGAUGUAUAAGACUGUCCCAAAAUUUACAUUUUAGGUAUGACUCUGGGACAAAAAAAAAUUGAUGUACUAAAUGUUGAAAACCACGAAACAUGAGGGUAGUAAACAGUCUUUUGCCCAAAAAAGAAAUAUACUAAUGCAGAACCGUGUUCAGAACAUACAACUAAUCAAGAAUAAUGUGAAAAAUUUAUUAUGAAAAGGUACAAACCAAGGAAUGGGUCCUACACAGAGAAGACUCGAAGAUACCUAUACAGAAGUGUCCUAUGCAGAAGUGCCCUGACGCUGGGAUCGUGUGCCUCGAUUCUAACUCCUAAGGGGGCGGGGCGCAAAACAAAAGGGUGAGUGGACCAAAAUUUAUAAUAAUAAUAUUAAUAAUAAGAAAAUCAUUUUCUUUUUUAACAUACUAACCCCUUGUUUUGAAAACACAUAUAUAGUACUACAUAGUAGGUUUUUUGAAAACUAUAACAUGCCAUGAAAACAUUUAUAAAACAUAUACGUGUAAAACAAUGCUAAAAAAUGGUGAUAUCGCCGCCCAAAGGUAAAUCCAUAAAUCUCAUCAAUGAUGUACUCACUAGGAGUAUCAUAGUCACCCGAAGGCAUAACAUGUCCAUCAUCCGAAGGUGAAGCUGUACGACACUGGGUUACGCCAGUGACGAAACAUGGUAGGCCCUAUCACCAGUAGGUGAAGCUGUACGACUCUGGGUUAUGCCAGAGAAGAAACAUAUACAUAUAACAUCACACACCGACACUAGCCAUGGCUAGUGUAGCUGUUCGACACUGGUUUCACCAGUGAAGCUGGGGGUAUAGCAUAAAUAUCAUCAAAUGUGUUCUAUGGCCAUAAACGUCUACAUACCCGUGUUGUGUGGAUGUGCUGUAUGAUAACCCACUAGAUAAGCACCGAAAACAUACCUCAAAAAUCUCAUAUCAAAUUUGGAGCUCAAAAGCUCAAAGUCUCAUCUCAUAACUGCAUAAAUAAAUCAUAUUCGUAAAUCCAUGAAUUUCAGAGACGAAAAUCCAAUAAUUCAUAAUAUUUGGUAAAACUUAAUUUCGAUAAAUCAUAAAUAAUGCAUAAAAGCAAUAUUAAUAAAUCAUGAAUUCUUCAUAAAGCAUAAAUCCAGAAAUCCGUAAAAUAUAUCAUAAAAUGUAAUCAAGUCAUAAAAUAUGAAAUGCAUGCAAGCCUAAUAUUUUAUAAAAACAUGCAAGUUUAGAAGGGCUCCACUCAUAGUAUUCCAUUGUCGAGGAGCCACUCGAACUAGCGAGGACAGUGUCACUUCCCACCGACGUACCUAAACACAAAUAGAGGCCAUUUAAUAAAACUCUACUAAAACGAUAGAAUUUAGGAAAAUGGACAGUGGAUUUGGACUCGGCACAUCGAAAAACCUAAAGAGGGACCUUGGGUUCCCCCACGUAUCUCCACGGGGCGGCGGCCCAGACGACCACGCGCCACUGCAAGUGCCGAGAUAGGUCGCUUGAAAAUUCACCGGCGGCGCCGUGGAUGGCGGUGGAGCAUAAAACCUUCAGUGGAGACGUGUGUGCUCCACACGUUGCUGGGUUGGGUUGGGUCGGAUCCGGGUUUUGGGUUGCUGGGUUGGGCCUGAGUUAUUGGGUUAAUGGGUUGGGUUACAUGGCCCAAAUGUUUGGGCCAGGUUAUUGGAUUGGGCCCAUCAGCUGGGUUGGGUCGGUUUUGGGUUGCUGUUCGGGUUGACCCGGUCCCCAUCGCAGGUCUGGUUGUCGAUUUCUAGCUGGUUUGGCUGGGAUAAAUUCCCGAGCUUCGAUAGAGCUCGAUCUUUGACCAUUUCACUCCAAAAUUAAACCAAAUAAAGAUGAAAAGACGAGGGAGUCGAAUCUACCUUACCCAAGUAAAAUAGGUGGUCGAAAAGGGCUGAUAAUCGAUUGCAAAAAUCACGUCAGUGGCCGUAAAACCGAGGGAGGUCUUCCCGAGUUGAUUUAUGCGUUAGAUUGUCACCAAAACAUGUAUACAACUCAAAAAUUGAAUCAAAAUGUCAAAGAGGAAAAGAUCGAAGGUAUUUUCGAGUCUUACCCUGCCAGAAAGAUUUGAGAACUCGCUGGAGUUCUCCAUCAUCUGUUUCUCCGGUUUAAGUGUGGGCAUGAGGGUUUAGUUUAAAUUUCUUGUUUUGGGGAAAGAGAUGGGACAAACUGGGGGUGAUGGUGAUGUGGCUCGCCUGCGGUGCAAAGAAAGGAAUGAAAAAGCUAAGAAAAUGUAUGAGAGAGAGAGAAAACUUUGAGAGUAGAGAGAGAAAAGUCACAGGAGAGAAAUGAGAGGGAGAGAGUUCCAGAAGAUUAGGGACCAAUCUGUGGGUCCCACGUGGCACACAACCCCAAUACAACAUGUGUUUCAAAUGAAAAUUGACCAAAAUACCCUCGUCAUUUCAAGCUUCAUAAAAUCUUCGUUAUAAUUUCGAAUUACGUUCCGCUUGCGCCCACGCGUUUGUAGCGACGAGUACUACAAUGAUACGCCAAAGAAACGAAUCUUACGUGAUACGAGGCGGUCAACAAAAGUUAACAUUUUUGCCUCAGAUGGCAUUUUGGUAAAUUCACACAUUAAAAUAAAUAAAUAAAAGAAAUAUUUGAGGACGGGUCGUUACACUAUCUUAGACUGGAUUAAUUUCAAUGACUAGGAUGGACUGCCUUAGAAUAAAAUAAGUUGUAUUAAGUUAGUGAAACAUUUGGUGCAGUGUCGAACUAAGAAGCAAAAUAAAGAAAUAGCUAUAAAUGUCGGAAAGAAAUAGGGGCUUUUGAGCUCUCAAAGACACAGAGUGAAAGAAACUCUACUAGUUUUCGGACUUUUUGCAACCACAACAACAUAUCGUUGAAAUUAGAAAACUAGAAAAUCCCCAGAUGAAAAGUUCACUGCUUGGAUUCCAAAGAUCAAAAGAGAGAGUUGUGCUUCGAAAAACCCAAAUCAAUCCAAUUCUCCUACAGAACUUUGCAAUUCGUUUUUACCUUCGAACCUCAAUCUUCGAUGCCAGCCUUUGAACUUUGACUUUUGGACUUUUAGCCCUCUCCAUUGGAGAUGGCCUAAGACCUUCUAGCCAGGCCCUUGGUCGACGUGAAUCCUAGCUAAUCUCAUUAAAGCUAACCCGUGCGAAUAACAAACACGAAACUAGACUGAUUUUUAACCCGGUCUAGUCCAAUGAAGACUAACGAGUGCUAACAAACGCAACCUCUAAUUCCUAGAAGUCCAUGUCUGUUGUAUUAUUUUGUUUGUUAUCUACUCCUAAAGUCAAAUCCAAGACUAAAACAUUAAAGAAUCUUUAGACGACUUUGAAGCCAUUAAUAUAUUGUACACAAAAUCAUAAUAUGUGUAUACACACAUAUGUACGCCAUAGGAACAUGUUGUGGAGUAAAUAAGCUUGCAGCUUCUUAAUACGCGUAUGCUGUAUAUGUCUACAUACAUACGCUUGGAUGAAAAAAGCUGUGAGUAAUCUAAAUCUAAGAUGGGUCAUCCAAUUUCUCAUGGCUUCCUUCUCAUCCUCUUAUUUUCUUCCAUUAUAUUUACAAAGCAUGCAUGCGAUCUAGCCGAACGUAACGCUCUCUCUUCCUUGUUAAUCACUCAGUCUUCCCCUCCAUUAAACUGGACUGCUUCAGUUGAUUGUUGCCAAUGGGAAGGCAUCACUUGUGAUCAGGGAGGUCGGAUCAUCCGAUUGCAGUUGCCAUCCAAAGGCCUCAAAGGAGGUAUGUUUCUCUCAUCGCUAAAAAACCUGACGCAUCUUUCGCACCUCAACCUCUCCCACAAUCUGCUUUCCGGUCCUGUGGAUGCUGGGCUCUUUUUGGCCUUGAUUCAUCUUGAGAUCCUUGAUUUGAGUUUUAACCUUCUCUCAGGCCAAAUAUCUUCCUCAAUCUGUUUUAAUUCUUCUUUGGUUCGAGUCUUGGAUUUCUCCGACAAUGAUUUCAAGGGUUCGAUUCCUCUCGGACUAGGAAAUUGUUCCAAAUUGGAAGUCUUUCGUGCAGGCUUUAAUACUCUCUCCGGGUUCCUUCCUAGUGAUAUCUACAAUGCUCAAACACUUCAAGAAAUUUCAUUACCUUACAAUAAGAUUUCCGGCCCCAUUGGUGAAAACAUUCUAAACCUUACCAAUCUCAGAAUCAUGGACCUCUCCUUUAAUCAGGUGAGGGGCAUACUUCCCCUCCAUAUUGGGAAGCUCUCCAAAUUAGAGCUCAUGCUGCUUCACUACAACAAUCUAGAAGGUCCGCUGCCCCUAUCAUUGUUGAAUUGCACAAACCUUAUUGAACUAAAUCUGGGCUUCAACCGUUUUAGUGGGAAUAUCUCUGCACUUGAUUUCUCGAAACUUACUGAACUUAGUAAACUCGAUUUUGUAUAUAAUACGUUCACUGGUAUCUUUCCGAUAAGCCUUUACUCAUGCAAAUCCCUCAAAGCACUUCGACUGGCUACAAAUGAUCUUGAAGGGCAAAUACAACCUGAGAUUCUUUCAUUGAAAUCCUUGUCCUUCCUCUCGCUUUCUGAAAACAGAUUCACCAACGUUAAGGGGGCAAUGAAAAUACUGAAGCAUUUCAAAGGUCUAAGGGUACUCCUCCUUUCUAAAACUUUUCAAGGUGAAGAAAUGCCGGACGGGAAUAUCAUUGUUGAUUAUGGGUUACAUAAUCUCUGUGUUUUCAGUUUAUAUAGCUGUCACUUGACAGGUCAAGUACCUGCAUGGAUCUCGAAGCUCAAGAAACUGGAAGUCCUGGAUUUGUCUUUUAACAGACUCACUGGUUCAAUACCUGGUUGGUUGGGGAAUCUUCCAAGUCUUUUCUUUGUAUGGUUGAAUAAUAACUUGAUUUCAGGUGAAUUUCCGAAGGAGCUUUGCAGACUACAAGCAUUGGUAUCGCAAUAUGCUCCAAAUCAAACAGCCCAGGGUUAUCAUUUUGAGUUUCCCAUCUACUUCCUACGCGAUGAUAAUUCAUCUUUACAUUCUUCACAGUACAAGUAUCCAUCCAGCAUGCCAAGAGCAAUCUCCCUCAAGAACAACAGUCUAAGUGGCAAUAUACCCUUUGAGAUUGGCCAAUUGCAAUAUCUUCAAAAAUUGGAUCUUAGCGUCAACAACUUCUCCGGCAAUAUUCCAAACCAAAUAUCAAACCUCAAAAACUUGGAGACAUUAGACCUCUCAAGAAAUCAUCUAUCUGGCGGAAUCCCAGCAUCACUGUCAAGUCUUAAUUUCUUGGCUUCAUUUAGUGUUGCGUACAAUAAUCUAGAAGGAUCGAUACCAACCGGCACGCAGCUCCAAGGCUUCGGUGCCACCGCCUUUGAGAGUAACCCUGGACUUUGUGGCUCCCCGCUUCCAAACGAGUGCGGACAGAUGAAUACAAGUAAUAAUACAACUGAGAACAUGGAAGAUGUAAAAGGAAAUGGGAAUGAAAUUCCAUGGUUUCGUAUUUCUGUGGCUCUUGGUUUCAUUGUAGGAUUUUUAGGAGUUUGUGGCCCUUUAGCUUUGAGCCGGUCAUGGCGAUAUGCAUAUUUUCAGUUUCUCUCCAAUGUUAAAGAUCACUUUGUGUGCUAAUCAAGUGUAUUUUUCUUUGAGAAAUAAAAGAUAUAUUAAUUAUCCACAUAUAGCUGCUGCAUACCAACAAUCUAACUUUCCUAAAGUUUGGAUUAGAAACCAUAUUAGACGAGUUUUCAAGGUAAUUAACGUCAUACGUAAAAUUCUACCAUUCAAUGACUUAGGGUUUUGUCAGGAUCGACUACUCAGACUUUUGAGCAUAAUCACUUGUAAGUUCAGUUGCAGUCCGUAUAAACUUCCUACACUAGCUAGCAUUCUUGUAUGAAAACUUACACAAGAACCAGGAAGUUUUGCCAGAUCAAUUUAGGGAAUGUGUGUACGUACCUUUUCAGGUAUAUGAACUAGUUUUCAAGAUGACUACUUUACUUUUUCAUUCCUGCGUUGGUAAAAAUGAAAGGUUAGAAUAAUAAUAAUAAUGUCGUUAAUGUAAACACACUUUACAUACCCAUUUCUCAUAAGUAAACAUGCCGUUAACGUCUCCGUUGCCCCUGGAAAAAUUCUCUUCUUCAGGUUUGACGACAUUGUAAGAAAUCAGAAUAAACCCUUUAACCAGGUAAAACAGUGUAAAGGCAGAUCAAUUAAUUCCAAAGUUCCAUGACUUUAGUCCUACGUACCUCAUAAUUAAGGUCUCUUGUUUCUUAUUUUAUUCUCAGUGCCAUUUCUAAAUGCAAAAGACUAAAACAUUAAAAAAAUAAAGACGACUUUGAAGUUAUUGCAGACAAAAGCAUAACUUAUACACCAUAGGAAACAUGUGGAUGUGUGGUGGUGGGCAAGAAACUUGCAGCUUAACAAUAUUUUUCUUUCUGAUGCUUCUUCUUAGAGGUGCUUUUAGUCCUUGCCUCCAGAAGAUGUCUAAACAAACAAUGAUUAAGUCAUAUUUUAGGAAGGCCAUUAUGUAUCAGAAAAUUAUUAAUUUAUAGGGUGAAGUGCCGAUUUAGUCCCUGAACUAUCACCUUGGUGAAAAUUAGGUCCCUGAAUUAUUUUUUUCCGUAAAAUAAGUCCCUAAAUUCAUUACAAAUUGCUAAUUUCAUCCCUACUAUUAUAUUCAAAGCUAUUUUAUCCAAUUUUUCGUCAACUUAAGUCACUUGACACACUUUAAAGUGUAAUACCAUCAUUUUCUUGUCUAUAAGCCCUUAACAUUUCAUAUAGGUUGUGAAUUUAAUGUCUAAUUUACCCUCAAAAGUUAACUUACACUAUUUCUUUAUGAAAAACUAUCAAUUUAUCCUCCAAAGUUAACUCCAUACAUUAUUUCUUUAUGAAAAACUAUCAAUUUACCCUCUAAUGUGUAUCACAUGCAAGUAACGUGACUUAAAUUGACGAAAAAUUGAAUAUAGUAACUUCGAAUAUAACAUAAGGGAUGUAAUUGGCAGAUUUUUAUAAUUCAGGGACUAAUUUUUCUGAAAAAAAUAGUUUAGAGACCUAAUUUUUACUAAGGUGAUAAUUCAGGGACUAAAUUGGCUGUUUACCCUAAUUUAUAUGUUACUAAAACCUAAUGAAUUUUUUAUAAUGUAUUCUUUGUAAAUUAGGCUAAUUAUGAAUUUAACACGUUACCCCUAAGUUGGGACCAGCCAAAAUAUAAUUUAAUUGAAAUUAUCAAUGUAAUGGGUAUAAAGUUAUCGAGGUUCUAUUGUAAAAAUACAUGUGUUUGGUAUAUUUUUACUUCAACUGUCUUAAAAAAUAAAGUGUUUGGGGGGUAAUAUAUACACUGAACUUUUUGGAACUUUCUGCACACAUUUAUAUAUACUAAAGCUUAGCAAAAAAUCACUGUUCAUCAUGUGAGUAGGAGCACUGUUCACCAACAGUGAAAGGGCGGAAAUGCCCUCAGUUAGUUUCUUUGAUUCCAACUUUGCCCCUAUUUCUUUGUUGUCAAACGGAGAACAAAAUGGGACGCGUGGGUUUUCGCUGCUUCUUCCCUCUCUCUCUUCGACUCAAUGUUCAUCCUUUCCACUGCUUCAAUCUUGCUCUCACGGUUUCAUUCCCUUUUAAUUUUCUUCUCUCAUGGUUUCGUUGCUUUCUUUCCACCGCUUCAAUCCUCCUUCAACUGGCUGCAGGCUCUAUCAAACCCUAGAAAUCAUUUUGCUUUUUUGGGCACCCUCCUUUUUCUCCAUGCUCCUUGCUUUCCCCAACCUAGAAUCCUCCUCCUUUCCCCGAAAGACAAAUCUUAAAUCCGCAACCCAAAACUCAGUCAUAGUUGCCCAACCAAGGUAGAUUAAUUGAAGAAAUAUUGCUCCAUCAGAGUAUAUUCCAUUUAACUUGGUAGAGGUAAAUUGUAGUAAAGUAGGUUACCCUCUUCAUCUCUUCAAAUAAAUUUGAUUAUCUAUCAAUUUCCCUGAAAUUAUUUUUGGUUUCAUGUGUGUGUGUGUGUGUGUGUGUUUUUUUUUUUUUUUUUUAAUUUACAGGGUGAUCUGUACGAUCACGCUAGCUUGGUGAAGGCGAUUGAGCAAGUCGACGUUAAUCCGCAAUAUUCCUUACCAUUUUUACUAUUUUAGAUUCUGGGUUUUGUUUGGGAAUCAAAUGUAUGGUUUGUGUUGGUGCAUCAAUCUCACUGAUUACAGUCAGUUGCAGAUGAAGCAGCUAGCUAGCUUUCACCAGAAAACAAAACAAGGUAGCAUUCACCUUCUUCUCCAUCUUUCCAAGCUAAUUAAUUAUACUACAAAUUACAGAGUAAAAGUCCUCAAUUUAUAAUUUAUGGUUUCAUAUAAUAGAUAUAUAUACAACUCUUAACAAAUGGAUGAGUUCUUUAUAUCUGAUCAGCAGGAUUUGAAGUCCUCGGAUAGUCAAGUCCAACUGGAUCGAUCUGCGCUCAUAUGUUAAUUUGAGUAUGUGCUCCUGAAUGAUGAUAGAGUAAUUAUUGUCAAUUAGUUGGUUUGAUCCUGCCCUCAGUCUAUAAGUUUUGGAUGUCAAGAAUGUAUGAUGUUUUAUGCGAAAAAAAUACUUUAAACAUUCUCAAAAACUUGAUUAUUGUGAAACUACACACACCAAAACCAGAUCAUAUAUGUAAUGAAUAGAGCAAAAUUUUAAGCAAACAAAUUGAGUAUGUUAUGAAUAGUAUUUUAUAUUCAAUAAAGACACAAGUCCUAUAGGACAGUGACUGUUUGCUUUUAGUAGUCCUUGAAGUUAUAGCUUGCUGAUUCGUUCCGCUAUUUCGUUUAUUGUGUAAUUAUUAUCAUUUUAGAACUUAGCUGUUUCAUUCUUUCUGCUUAUUUCAUGCUCAAUUUCAUCCUCAAUUUCUCUGUUUCAUUCUUUCUGCUUAUUAUCAUUUUAGAUGUCUGCAUUUAUAAAUCUUAUUUUAAAGGGGAUCAAGAAAAUAAAACAAGCGCCCCGGGCAACUGACAUCUAAUGCCAUGUAAAUUUACUUGCACUUUUGUAACGGAAUGAAGAUAGAUCCUAUCCGAAGUUUAUUACCUUUUCAGUUUAAUAAGAAGAUCAGAGUCUGUGUAUGCAGAAUUUGGAGACCUAAGGUUAUAGGAAAGGAUAAUACGUUUGGCGGUCUUCAAUGUAUAUUCAUUGACGAAAUGGUAAGAAUUUUGUGUUUUUAGGUUUUUAGUUUUAAAUUUUGGUUAUGAUUUCAAAAUUUUGCUCUGAUGUGUAUCAUUUUAUUAGUACAUGCUAAAAUUACAGGUUUUGUUAAUGCUGAUGACAGAAAUCAAUCCCAGUUCAAAAUGAAAAGAUAUGGUAGUUUUCGUUGUUGCAAGAACUGAAAACUUAGUACUCUUUCUCUAAGUUUCCCAUUUUUAAAAUUCAGAAACAUGGUUAGUUUUUUAUACCUAUUUUGUGACGAUUCACUAAGAAUUGUUAAUCGUUUUAAUACAUAUGAGAUAGGAUUUCUAAAUGAGUAAUUCUCUGGUUUGAAUGUUAUGUGCUUGGGAGUGUAAAUUUGGAUUUAUAAAUGGGUUUUUUGUUCAAAUAUUUUGGUUGUGAUUUUGGGGAUUUUGUUUGUAGCUUCGGAUUCUGGCUGAUGAUGGUUAAUUUGGUUUUGUUUUCGGUUUCAGGAGAUCGGAUUUUUCGAAUUUGUGACUUUUCUUUGAAGCCUGCGAAGACCUCUGUGUUUGAGGUGGGUGCUUUUGGCAUUCCACAGGUUUGAUUCAACUUGCAGCUUGAGGUGUGAUUUUAUUUUGUUGUUAAGUAUUUUUGGAUUAAAACUAAGAGCUUUGAUUUAAGUUUGUAGUUUUGAAAUUCAGUUUCAAGGGUGUUCAAAUUCAGGACAAGAAAAAUUGUAAUGAUCCCCAAGAACAUAGGAAGUAAAAAAUUUUGAUGAUUAGCUUUUGAAAUUUCAUUUUUCCCAAAUCCAUAUCGACAUGGGUAUAAUAUACAAGCCUUCCUCAUAUAGAUAUAUCUUCAUUUAAUGCACUUGGAUGCUUUAAUUUUUUAUGAACAAUAGUUUUGGCUGAACAAUUUAUAUGUGCAGAGUAAUGAAAUUUAUCAUUGGUGUCAGUGGCAUUCAAACACAUCUAUCUAAUGAAUGACUGAAAGGAUGGAUAUAAUAUGAAUUUUCUUUUUCAUUUCAAUGCAAUGAUAAGGUAGGCUUAAGCGUUGAACUGGGUUCCUUUGCGGUUGGACUAAUUAUAUCAACUACUGAUCUCAUAUGGUCAAGAAAUAUAUUAGCUGUCAUUAUACUCGAGAGAAAUUAAGUACAUGGACAACGUCAUUUGUCCUCUUUGUUUAUUUAUUUUUAAUUUAUUUUCCCCCUCAAUUUUCUGCCAUGCCAUUUCAUUUGGUUUUUUAUUUUCCUACAGGUUUUCAUUUGAAGGGAAAGUAUUGCAUUCUUAUGAAUUCUACGUCGCUACUCAGGUUUAUAAUUUUUUUUUUCUUUCCUUGCUCAUGCAUUAUUUUCUUUUUGCUGCAUAUUGAUAUUGAGUUCUGUUUGGAAAUGCCUCUGUUUUUUUUUUUUUUGUUCACUUGCUGAAAAUGUCUCUACCAAAAUUUUAAGGGCCUUUUCUUUGUUUCUUCUUAUCUUCCUCAUUCCUUGUCCAAUUAUAAAGCAGUUUUACGUUUUUGUUGCUAUACAGAGCUUUCCUUUGUCCAAUUAUGCCGAACGCAACUCUUUCUAAUUUAAAUGGACUCUAUUUCUUACACAUUGUAUCUGAUAGAGCAGAUGAAAAAAGAGCGAAAAACGGAUUGUAUAUGCUCCCUCACUAUCAUAAGAGAACUGUCUUAGCUUUUGGUUAUGUGUCCCCCAUUUGUUUACUUAUAUGUUCUACUGUUUUGAGUUAAAUUUAACAUACCAUCCACACUAAGAGCUCCAUACAGAGAAAAUCCAUAAGAGAAAAUUGAAAAAUCCAUUUUUUCUAGAAUAGCAAAUUCCAUUUCCAGCUUACUUUAUAUAUUACUCUACAUAUGUAUGAGUACAACAUUGUACAUCAAUGUCUUCUCUAUGUUAACUUUACAUGUUACUCAUUUGUAUGUUGUUGCUCUCAGACUUCAUAUAAUCCUCAUUCGCUUUUUAACACUCUAAUGUUGCAUUGUUUGCACAAGAUUCCUUUAUAUAUGGUUUCUUUGUGAAAUUAAUCACAGCAGAUUAUUACAUCUUCGUCAUAACGAUACCUUCUUUACUAUUUUAAUUUCUACUUAGACAUUUGUUUUUUGAUUGUUUUUUUUUUUGCUAUAGUGAUUUAUUUGAACUCUCCUACUCUGUCUAAUUAGUAUCACUGACAUAUAUUUGAUAUAGGACUGAAGUGCGAAAAAUGUGUUGGUUUGAAUGCACUCAUUUUAGUCUUUUUGCAUCUGAUAGAGCAGAUGAAAAUAGAGGGAAACAAAAAUCUCAUUUGCACCUUCAGGAUCACAAAUGAACUCUAUCUCAGUUUUACUUAUAUGUCCCCCUUUUGUUUUCUUAUAUGUACGAAACUAACAACUCCUUUUUUUUUCCAAAAUUUGUAGGAACUAGCUGAAACCUUAAACCUUAACAUAAUGAAGAUGAAGAUGAGCUGGAAACAAUGAAGUAGGAAAAUCUAGAUUCAGUAACAUGUUCAUAGUCUAUCUAAAUAUUUUGAAUAAUGAGCAGUUUAAUGCUGUUAAUCUUUUGAUCGUGGUAAUAUGUUACUAAUUUACUUUCUCAACAACAGAUAUGUAAAUAUUGAUAUAUAAAACUUAUUUUAUGUUAAAUAGUAUUUUCUUAAAUGGUGUUUUUAAAACCUGCAGCAAAGCGCGGGUGUUUAUGCUUGUUUUAAUCAAUGCCGCAUAUAAAUGAUUUUAAAAUAUGGGGAAGCAUAAAAUUUCAAUUAACAUAAAAAAUCCAGGUUCAAUCUUGAAUUUGAAACUUUUCAAAUUCAGUUUAGUUUGUGCAAAUUAUGUAAGGGCUAUGAUAUUAUUAACUACAUAUCCGUAUAAAAUCAGCCCUCAGUUCUUAGGAAAUUCAUCACCAGCACUCACUAUGAAAGAUUCUAUCAAUUUUUGGCAGUUUUGCUUCAAAGACUUGUUUAUAGAACGGAAACAGAAAAAGAAAAAACGGAGAAGAAUUUACAAGUCUUUUGCCGACACGCUAUGAACUAUCUGGCUGACAAAAAAUGUUUCGAUAUCUAGGAAAACAAAUGAUAUAUGCUAUCACUUUGGUUGAGCAUAUAAUUAUGAAGGAUUUGGUGGGGCGGGGACUUCAACAGUUCCUUCAAGCAUCUGCAUGACAUUCUUCGUGGUCGGUCGUUGUGAUGGAUCCCCUUGAAUGCACCAAAAUUUUAUAACAGUUCAUAUACUUCAAAAAAAUCACCAAAAUUUCAUAUCGUAUUUAGUUAAAUAUCCAUAGCCUUCCGAAGGCCUGGAAACAUUAUUUUAUACGCUUAAAAUAGAUACGAUCUUGUGAAAUUUUGGUAUAUUUAUUGAGAAAUAAAUUUUGUUUGAUGACAAAUUUGCCUGUUUGGAUUAUCUUGCAAUUUGGGUGCAGUAUCUAAUUAGCAAACUCCUCCAUCUUGUCAAUGUUUUCUAGUUGCUUAUAUAAUAGGGUCCCGCUUAUCCUGGUGAUAUUUUAUUAGGAAAACUAAUUAAAACAACUUAAAAUUUUUGAAUUUUAAUUAAAAGAACAAAAAAUUGUUGUAAGUGAAUAAUACCAAAAGUGACAUUUUAGAUUAAAAAUGUCUUUUUUUAUUAAAAUAAACAGUACCUCGACAUGGGCUUCCAGAACGCUGACUUGGAAAACGAAGCUCUUCGGGAAGUGGGUACGGUUGGGAUUUUCGGCUUCCCCGGCGGCGGCGGCAUGGGACUCAGCUUUGGGAUUUCUGGAGAAGCAGAGCCAGAGACUCGAGGCUCUGAUGGUUCGUAAGCUCGAGAUUUGAGUCACUGAUUUCGUUAACGUCUGCUGUGUAUUCUUCGCCGAUCUGCAUGACACAUCGUUUCUGCAGUCGUGGUUGUACUAGCCUACUAGGUGGGAGGGAAAGAAGAACAUACAUGAACUGUUCAUCUUCAUCGUUUUUGUUUUUGUUUUUUUUUUUUAAAGUUUUUCAUUAUAUAGAAAAUAAAUUUUUUUCAUUAUUAAAUUUUUUUUAAUCCACAUGAUAAUAUUUAAUUAAAUUUGUGAACCUAGUUAUGUAUCAUAUCAACACAUAGCAUAAUUUUUUACAAAAGUAUAACGACAUUGAUUUACAACACCUAUUUUCAAAGACUAUAUUGAUCGAUUUUUAAUUUUAUAAACCAUUUUGAUGUGAUGUGUUAAUUUUAAGAACUAUUUGUGAGAAAAAUCCUUAAAAAAUACAGUCAGAUUUUGCAUACAACGACAUUGAAGGUGGAAAUUUGUGCUAAGCCCGUCAUGAUUGGUAUGUAACUUGCCACUAAAGAAAUAUGCAAACGCGGAAACAUGUUCAGAGCAUACAACUAAUCAGAAAUACUGCAAAAAGAAUAUUAUAAAAAUGUACGAUUACAAAGAAAGGGAUCCUACACCGACAGGAUUCAAAGAUACCGAUACGGGGAUGCCUCAACGCCGGGAUUGUACGCCUCGAUUCUAAUCCUGAAGGGGCGUAAAACAAAUGUCACAUCCCGGCCCGGGCCCCCACCACAUCCUGGGCUCGACUCCGCCGUAGCACGAUAUUGUCCGCUUUGGGCCCCGACCACGCCCUCACGGUUUUGUUUCUGGGAACUCACAUGAGAACUUCCCAGUGGGUCACCCAUCCUGGGAUUGCUCUCGCACAAACUUGCUUAACUUCGGAGUUCUGAUGGAACCCGAAGCUAGUGAGCUUCCAAAAUGCCUCGUGCUAGGUAGAGAUGGGAAUAUAUAUAGAUAUAUAUAUAUAUAGAUAUAUAUAUAUAUAUAUAUAUAUAUAUACAUGAUUCACUCCCCUGGCCGAUGUGGGAUGUUACAACAAAAGUGUGAGCGGACCAAAGUUUAUAAAUAUUAAUAAUAAUAAUUGUUGGUACCAUAUAUUGGGCCUCGUCUUUAGGCCUCAUCCCUAAGCCCAUGAUUUAUGUAAAAUGGGAGGGAACCCUUAUUCUAUAAAAGGGGGCCUCACCUUCACUAAGAGGAGAAGAAACACAUCCCUCACAACAAUAGAGGGCAAUACCCUCUCAGCCAAACAGAGAGCAAAAUGGCAAGGGCUGCAUCCACAGAGAGCUCCCUUGCCGAUCUAUUGUAAUCCAUACAUUCAUACAGUGAAAUGGAAUCAACAUCAGUGUGGACGUAGCCCAAACAUUGGGGUGAACCACGAUACAUCUUUGUGUUCUUGUGCGUUUGUGUGAUUCACGGUCGGAUUUACGUUGGUCCAAGAUCCUCCAGAUUUUGUGCAUCAACAUUUGGAGUCCCCCAAGUCUUCAGUCAAGAGAGUCUUUUGGCUGGAGACUUCAAAUCCAAUCCAUGUGUGGGCCGAAGUAACUAGAUAUUGUCCUGAACAAGUACUCAACACAAGGCAAUGCUCAACAUAAAGCAAUACUCGGUUAGAGGUAUCACACGUUGCGAGACUGCUCGGCUGGAGGCGAUACUCUUUGCGAUGCUGCUCGGCUAGAGGCUAUGCUCGCUGUGAGACAGCUCGGCUCGUGGUGUUCCUCAUUACUUUAUGUCAAUGUGCACUCAGUAUGAGUUGAUUCUCAACAUGAUUCGGGUCCGUUUGUCGGGUUCGCAUAUUGGGUCUAUGUGUCGGAUCCGUGGAUCAGGUCCGCAAGUCGGGUCUUUGAGUUGGGGCCAUACGUAGGGUCAUCGAGUCGGGGCUAUCUGUAGGGUCUUUGAGUUGCGUCCAGGCACAUAGGUGUCCAAAUAAGCGAGUGUCCGAGCAAGUGGGUGUCCAGUCAGACAAGAGAUCACCGUUCGGACUGAAUCUUUGUCACCAUGAGCAUGUGGCUCAUCAGUCUAUAAGUUGGUAGACUUAUUUAAUCAGCAACAAUGUUGAUCAGUGGAUCUAGUUGCUCAAUAAUUCCUGACAAUAAAUGACAGUAUAAGUAUGACUGUAUAAUGAAUAAAUCAAAUUGACAAAGUUUGUCAAGGCAAAAUAUUGUACUAUGUGCCUUCUAUAAAUAAAUAACUUAUUCAGUUGUGUGGUCGAUCACAUGUUGUAUAAGUGACAUAUGAAACACCCCAACCUCACUUUUACUUAAAAAUUGUUUUAAAGCCUUAAUUGGUGAGCCCGUGGGGCCCACCAUGUUUUUCUUUGUAAACUUCCCAGUUACUCUCUUCCUCUCACCUGAGCUAUCUCUCCCUCAUCUCUCUCAUUCUCGUCCUCCCGUGAGCACACCCACACUCACGCACUCACAUACCCAUCACCACACCACCAUUUUCGACGUUAACGGCGUAAUCAUCAUCAUCAUCAUCAGUUCGUGCUCUCCCUCUCGUCUUUGCGAGGUCGACGAACCCAAGAAGGAUCUCUGGCGAGUCCCUUCUAUUUUUCAGGUUAGGUGAGACCCAAAUCUUUCCUUUUUAAACAUUGUGGAUGAUGAUGGUCAUGAUGUGAUCCUUCUUACACCCUUUUUGUUCAAGGUUUGGCAACGGAAAUAACACAGGGAAGCACACCCAACUUCCCAGCGGACCCGUGUCCUUCGAGGGAUUUUUUCGAACACUCACGGCCGUUUCACAGCGAAGAAAGGGUAUGGAAAUACUCUACUCUCUUCCCUCUUCAUUUUGAUGUAUAGUUUGAACCCUAGUUUGCUAGAAAACCGCCGGCCAGAGCUGUAGCAGCUCCGACUUUCUCCUCCGAUCACCACGCAGGCCCUUCAGGCCACCCAAAGCACCCCGGGCCUUAGACCCGUGUUUGGACCAGCCCAGAAACACCAAAACCCAGCCCAAUUAUAAAUUUUAUUUCCUUUAUUUAUUUUUUUGACCCACUGGGCCUUAGGGCCUUUUCUUUUUAUUUAGGGCUUAAAGCCCGGUUGUUGGUAACUAGGCCUGCAGGCCGUGCCUUGAGGGUGUGUAUGGGCUGUGUGUGUGUGUGUGUUAUGUUGUGUACGUGUGUGUGUGGGUGUACGUCCGUGUGUGUGUGAGUGUAGUGCAUGCGUGUGUGUAUAUGCAUGUCAUGCAUGCAUGUGCAUGCCGUGCAUGUGUGUGUGCUUAGGUGGUGUGUGUGUGUGUUUGGGCUUAAGCCCAAACCACAUUUCUUCACCCUAUACCCUUUUAACCCAAAAAUCUUAGGACCCUAAACACAAAACCCAAUAGAUCCUAAUCUUAUUUAACCUAAACCCUAAUCCGGAUUUCAAGCCUAAAACCCGUUAGACCUAAUUUGACCGUUGACCCCGGUCAACGUUGACUUUAGGGUUGACUUUUCUGGUUUUCGUCCGGGAUCCUUCUUAGGGUAAUUUGACGUUCUGAAUCCGUUUCCAAUGUCUAUUUUCCCAAAUUCAAUUGCUAUUAUAUAGUUUUAUUUAUUGGACUCUUUAUGUGCUUAUGGGCAAUUAUAGUGGCGUUUCUGUCUUCGCUAGCUGCGUGACUUUUGGACGGCGAAGUACUGUGAGUGGACCCUUCCUAAAAUUACAUGAUUUUAUAAUUUAAUUGCAUAAAUGAUUAGCAUGCCUACGAAUUUAUGAUUCGAAUUAUGUUAAGCCUGUUUACUAAAUUUAUUGAUUUCGUCUCGUGUUUUUGGUGAGGAAUUAAUUAUUAGCCUAUUUUGAGCUAUAUUUUAAUAUAUCGUAUUUUCUAUAAAAAUCAUGAACUGGUAGACUAUCCGAUGGAUGACGAUAGGAUGUAAGAACAUGUUUUAGAAACCCCUAUUUAUAGUAUAGACAAUGGAUGACUUUAUACUAUGAAGUGGUUAUUUUUUAGAGGCGUAACUAUUUGUGCGUACCUAGUAGACACUAUGCCGCCUGGGGCGAGGAUCUGGUGUUGGCAUUUAGGCCGGGAGAAAUAAUCCCUAGUUACGGGCUGAGGGACAUGGAGCAGGCAUUGGGCCGGGAGUUGGUAAUAUCUGGCUACGGGCGCAAAGACCACGGAGCAGGCAUUGGGCCGUGAGUUAUAUUUAUUCAGUGAUCUUUCUAGCAGCACACCGCGUUUACGAGACGAUUUAUGAUACGUUUAUUGUUUUGAUUUCCGCAAUGUUAUUCUGCGAUAUGACUUUUGAGAUAUUUUUGGCAUGCUAAGAUUUUGAUUAAAUCCAUCACUUAUUAUGCUAGUAAUUUUCAUUAUUAAAACUUGGGGGUUAGUAUGUUCACAACUGUUUUCAUAUUAUGUAUAUAUAUGAACUUGGUUCACUCACCCUUGUUUUGCGCCCCCUUUCAGGAUUUAGAAUCGAGGCAUACGAUCCCGACGUCAACUCUUUCGCAUUGGCAUAUUCGAGUCCUCUCGGUGUAGGACCCACAUCCUUUUAUUUAUUCAAUUUUAUAUUAAUUCUUUUAAAGCUCUAGUUAGUUGUAUGCUCUGAACACGUUCCUAAAUUGUUAAUUCUUUGAAUUUUAAAUUCAUAACCCUUAUUUACUUCUUAUUCUUACCUUUUGUAUCAAUUAAUGGCUGUCGUCACCCUUGGGUGUCGGCCAGCACGUGUCUAUCCUGGUAUUCGGAGAAUAUCAGAGUUGGGGGGGGUGGUCAACAUAGUUUAAGGGCAAUCACAAUAUCACUAGGCAAUGAAUAAACAUUGCACAUGUACUUGGGUUAAAUAUAUGUCACUGGUAUUCGGGGAAUAUCAGAGUCGAGGGGGUGGUCAACAUAGUUUAAGGGCAAUCACAAUAUCACUAGGCAAUGAAUAAACAUUGCACAGGUACUUGGGUUAAAUAUAUGUCACUAGCGACAAAUAAUGGAAAACAAAAUCCGGAUAAUAGUCUUACACAUGAUGACUAUAGGGAUAAAGUAUAUGUGUAUAUAUAUGUAACUUUGUAUUAUGGAGUGUGGACCGUGCCCUAAUAAUGAAAAGUGACAAUAUGUGAUGUGGUCACACUUCCUACUUUGGGAACAAUCAUGAUAAAAUCGUAUUAUGAUGACAAGCAUAGACGCACAGGUUAUGUGGUAUCAGCAGCCUGUGUUGGCAUAGUAGUAAUGAUGUGACAAAAGAUUAUCAUCAUAAUAAAAUCUUUGAAUAAACAUACAUCUGUAUACUUGCAUUGUGUAGUGUGCCCUGAGUCACUAAAGUUCAUCCCAACAUUUUAAAUAAUGAAUAAAGUAUUCAGAAAUGAUUAAAGUUAUAUUUAUUUUAAACGAAAGUGGCCGACACUUGUAACAAAUAUCAUAAUAUAAUAACAAUAAAAUAUUAAAUAAAUGAUGAAAACAUAAUGAUGUUUGCUGAAAAGGAAAAGUAAAGUUCUCUUUAUUUUUUUUCUAUUGGCAGAUGGCAGACAAUAACGAAAUAAUAAUAGAAUUAAUAAUAAAAAACUUAUCUACGUUUAUUCUUGUUGAAAGGAUAAACCAAAGAUGAACAACCUGAACUUUUAGUAAGACAAUGGCUUCUAUGAGCUGUUGAAUCCCAAAUCUCGUAAGACAAAUGGCUUCUACGAGCCAUUGGGGUGUGGCUGUGUGAGUGACUGAGUGAUAUACUAAUGUACAGAUCUUGCACAUCGAAAUGGAAGCAAGAAACAGCUUGCACAGUUUGUACAAUUUCCGAAAUCCUAUCCCACCCAAUUGGAACCCAAUGACCACCCUCAAACCUUUCCAUAUCCUGAACUUGGCCUGAUUGCUGGCUCCUAUCUUCCAUUUGGGAUGGAGAAUCAGAAAAUCCGUAAGAAGGAACACGCACCCUCUCUUGCUCACCAUCUAUUUGUUGUUUAGUCAGGUUUUUUGAACCAGGUUUUGAACUAAUUAUUUUCUUCCGGCUUCGGAUAAACUCAAAAGCACAAAUAAGCUCAUUUUUCCAAAGGUCACUCCCAGUCCCAGGCAUGGGAUCUCUACUAGAACAAAUUCUAUGGCUAUCCGGGUUCUUCGUGUUAUUGCAAUGGGAAGAACUGUUCUCCCCCACUCUACUGUUGUUGUGUUCCAUCAAUGCACAGCUAAACCAUGGAAGUUGCAAUUCUCAGAGACAGGAUUAAGCUGCAAUCUUGAUCACAGCUAAAUACUGCAAUGUUUAGAAAAAUUAUCAAAACCUGACUAUAAUUAAAUUAGAAUUUCAGUCCAUGGAUUGCAGUUUGCACUCAUAAAUUGGGAAAAGAUUCAAACUUCCAUCUCCGAGAGUAUAAAAAGUUUACAGACACUGCAACCUCCAAGUUAACAAACAAAACAAUAAAACAAAAGAAGUAGCAAUCAAGCAAAUAAACUCUACCCAUAUAAACAACCGAAUAAGAACAUGACCCAGGAAAAACAAUUAAAAAAUACCCAACAAAUAAAAAUCAAGUGGGAUAGAGAGAAAAUUGUUCCUGAAAAUUUAGAGGGGGAGAAAAAUGAUGAAUUUAAAUGGUAAAUUAUGGGUUCUUGUACGAAUAACAGAAUAUUUCUAUUACUGUUAAUUAGGAGGAAAUGAAAUGAGAGGAGGAGGAGCUUACCCAGGAAAGAAGGCAGAGUGUUGAAAAACCUAAGCUCCACCAAGGCAAUGCCUUUGUUUGAUUUAUGCAGGAGAGAAAAACUUGAACUCUAAGAAAAAACAGAGGGACGUGGAAAGGCUACGAACGUUGGUACAAUUCGAUGCUUCCCUUCAUUGUUUCGAUUUUCGUCAAAGGUGAAUUUGAACCACAUUAUUUCUAGCCCAUUAUGAGGCUAAGUCCAUCUCCUCACCCUUAGUGUAAAUGACAUCGGUUUUUCAAAAAAAAAAAAAAAAAAAAAAAAACCAUAAAACCUCUUCCAAAUGCCUUGUAACAUUUUCCUCACGGAAAAUAUUUUGUGAAAAAAAAAAAUUGCAUUUGUUUAUUAAAAAAACAUGGGUUUUCAAGCGGGUUGGUGCACCCAAAACGAGGCGAGACUCGUCGUAUAAACCGGGGCGGGGUCGUGGAUGCAAAAUCAUGGCAAGCUUCUGGCACGCAAAACAAGACGGACUCCUUGCACGAAAAGUGAGGCAAGCAAAACAUGAUGGACUUAAUGCAAGUAGAACAAGUCCAACCCAAAUGCAUGAAAAACGAGGCAAGAUACGUUGCGCAAACUAAGACCAGCUAGGCGCACGGAAAAUGUGACAUGCAAAACGAGAGGCAGGCUCGUGCAUGGAAGUAUGGCGGAACCGGCAUAGGCAAAAUGAGGCGGGCUUGGCGUAUGGGUCAACUAUUGUUGCCCACAAGAAGCAUUGGUCUCAGGGGUAGAGCAUAUAAGCUGUUAUCUCUAUGGGGUGGGGUUUAGUUUUAAUCACACAGGUUAACCAUUGUUGCCCAUACGAACUAUUGGUGCCAGGAGUAGGGCAUUUAUAGGUGGUAAAAUUUAGUUUUAAUCCCACGGGUCGACCUAUAAUACCUUGAAAAUUUAAAUAUAUGAAUUUUAAUUCAUAAUUAUGAAAUGUGGAGAAAAGUGGAAAUGAAUCGAUUUAUGGUUAUGGACAGGGCCGGCCCAGGCCCAGUGCCACAGGGGCAACUGUCCAGGGCCCCAAAAUGAAGAGGGCACCAAAAUAAAAAAAAACUCAUAUAACUAAGUAUUAAAAAAAAAAUUUCACAGCCCAAAUAGGGGUUGGCAAGAGCCCAAAAGGCAACAAAAGGGCCCAGAAAGACCCAGCCACAGAUUAGAAGAAAAAAAAAAAAAAAAAAAAAAAAAAAAAAAAACAUAACAAAACAUAACAGGGACCAGUGGUCCCAAUCAAACCCUAAUCACUAAUAUACUACAACCUUUCCCGAUUCCCCACCCUUUCCCGAUUCCCCACCCCCCCACCCACCUCCCUUUUGUUCCCUACAUCCCUCACUUUGCCUUCCCUGCCCCUUUUUUUUCUUUCUCUGAAUCAUUAUUUUUCUUUCUCUUGAAUCAUUGGAGCUUUGCUCUGCCAUCCCAAGCCAUCCCAACUUCUUUGCUACAAGCUUUAAUGGUUGCUCCAAACUCUCAAGCGCAAAGACAAAAUUAGUUUUGAGGUAAAUUUUUAAAAUUUUAAUUCUUAAUUUAUAAUUUAAUAUAAAAUUUUGCAAUGCAAGUGAUAUAGAAUUAUAUGAUAAAUUGAUAAUUGAUGUAUAGAAUUAUUGUUGUUGAUGAAUGAUGAAUUGAAUUCUUGACUAAUUGAUUAUUGAAUUAUUUGAUUUCAUUUCAAACCCAAUUUUAGGUUCAAUUUUUUUAUAAUAUGUUUGACUAUGUGUUAGUGUUUUUAUAAUAUAUAAUGUGUUGGAAUGAUAAUUUUGAUGGGAAAAUUUUGUUAUAUCAUGUGUAGGUAAUUUUUGCAAACAAAUUAUCGAAGCCAUGUCUUUUAGGAAACAACUCUCUGGUAAUAUGAAAAGAAAAAAAAAAGGCAAAGGAUAACGAAAUUGCCGAAAGUUUAAGAGGAUCUCUUAAUAAAUUUUUCUCUACAAAUAAUGAGUCAGUUGAAAAUUUGAGAGAAAAUAAUGUUGGUGAAGAGCCACAAAAUGUUAUUGGGGAGUCUCAUGAUCAUGAAAAUGGUAGUGAUUUAGAAGAAAAUGUUGGUGAUGAGUCUCAAGACCAUGAAAAUGGUGGUGAUGUGGAUUUAAAUGUUGAUGAUGAUCAUAUUGGUGUAGAGGAAAAUAUUGAAUCUCCUGAACCUAUUUUCCAUAUAAACAUUUAUGAUCCAAGAGUUUGGGAUGGUCUUAAUGCAGAAAUGAGAGACUUGCUUGUAGAAAAUGGGCCAAUUCGAGAAACUAAUCUCACUUAUCCUAAGGACAAACUCUCUAGAAAAUUUUCCUCACACUACUAUGAUCGAAAAUUACCAACGGGUGAAAUUUAUGAUAGGAAAUGGCUCGUGUACUCAAAAGAGUUGGAUAAAGUCUUUUGCUUUUGUUGUAAAUUGUUUAAAACAAUUGCCUCAAAAAGUGAGUUAGCAAAAGAUGGAAUUAGUGAUUGGAGACAUCUUGGUGUGAAGCUUGACCAACAUGAAAAGAGUAAAGAACAUCUUACUAAUUUGAGAACUUGGGUUGAGUUGAAAAGUAGAUUGACAACAAAUCAGACAAUUGAUAAAGAAUUUCAAAUGCGAAUCAAGAAAGAGACAAAUCAUUGGAAACAAGUGAUGCUUAGAAUUAUUGCUGUUGUGAAAUGUCUUGCUAUACGUAAUUUAGCAUUUCGUGGAACAAAUGAAAGACCUUAUGAAGACUGUAAUGGAAACUUCUUAGGUUUACUUGAAAUGAUUGCGGAGUUUGAUCCAAUAAUGCAAAAACAUUUUCGACUCAUUGAGAAUAAAGAGAUUCAUCACCACUAUUUGAGUCAUAAAAUUCAAAAUGAGUUGAUAGCUACUUUAGCUUCAAAAGUCAAAACCGCAAUCAUUAAAAAGGUAAAAGAAGCCAAAUUUUUUUCUGUCAUUCUUGAUUGUACUCCUGAUGCAAGUCAUGUGGAACAAAUGACUUUAAUUUUGAGAUGUGUUGACUUGUCAAGUAGGUCAAUAAAUAUAAGGGAGUAUUUCAUGGAGUUUUUAAGUGUGGAAGAUACAUCAGGACAAGAACUUUUUAAUGAGUUGCAAGAUGUCCUAAAGUCUCUUGAUCUUGAUAUUGAUAAUGUGAGGGGACAAGGUUAUGAUAAUGGAUCUAACAUGAGAGGGAAACACCAAGGUGUCCAAAAAAGAUUGCUAGACAUAAAUCCCAGAGCAUUUUACAUGCCAUGUGGUUCUCAUUGUCUUAAUUUAAUAGUUUGUGAUAUGGCAAGUUCAUGUCUUAAAGCAAAAUCUUUUUUUGGAGCAAGUCAAUGCAUAUAUACGGUGUUUUCCAACUCUACAAAGCGUUGGAAUAUUUUGCUUGAACAUAUUGAUGGUUUAACUUUGAAGUCAUUGUCAACUACUCGAUGGGAAAGUCACAUUGAAAGUGUUAAAGCAAUUAAAUCCCAAGUAGCCCAAGUUAGAAACGCUUUGUUUACGUUGGUGGAAAUUACUGAGAAUCCCCAAUUGAGUAGGGAUGCAGAAUGUUUAGCAUCAGGAGAACUUUCCAGUUUUGAUUUUGUAUUAAGUUUGGUUAUUUGGUAUGACAUUUUGUUGAAGAUUAACAUGGUGAGCAAAAAAUUACAAUCUGAAGACAUGCGUCUUGAUGUUGCUGUAAAGGCUUUGGAAGCACUUGUUACAUUUUUUGAAAACUACAGAGAAACUGGUUUUGCUUCUGCCAUGCGUGAUGCUAAAGAAAUUGCACUUGAAUCGGAAAUUGACCCUGUUUUUCAAACUAAACGUUAUAGACCUAGAAAAAGACAUCAUGAUGAAAUUGAUGGUAAUGAGAGGGAACAACAGUCUGCUGAAGAAUCAUUUAGAACAGAUUAUUUUCUUGUUAUAGUGGAUAUUGCUCUUUCUCAACUGAAACACAGGUUUGAACAGUUAAAGGCUUUUGAAUAUAUUUUUUGGCUUCUUGUUUGAUGCACCGAAGUUGAUUUCAUUGGAUGAUCAACAACUAAAAGAAAAUUGUAUGAAUCUUGAAGCACAUUUGAAACUUGGAAAUACCAUGGAUGUAGAUGGAGCCGACUUAUGUUCCGAGUUACAGGUGUUGCAAAUGAUGUUACCUGAAGAAGCAUUUUUCUCUAAUAACCCUUGGACAACCAUGGAAAUAGCAAACUUUGUAAAAGAAACUGACAUGUGUCCUAAUGUCUUGAUUGCUUAUCGUGUACUGUUGACUGUACCUGUGACCGUGGCAUCUGCAGAAAGAAGUUUUUCAAAAUGAAAUUAUUAAAAUCUUACUUGCGGACCACUAUGACUCAAGAUAGGCUAAAUGGAUUAGCAAUCUUAUGCAUUGAAAAGGAUGAGAUUGAAGACUUGGAGUAUGAUGAUAUAAUUGAUGAUUUUGCUUCAAAAAAUGCCAGAAGACAAUUUCUUAAAGGUUGAAAUUUCAAUGAGUUUUGCUAGGAAUGGUUGUAUAUGAUUGUAUUUUUGAUUGUCGGGGUUUAGGUAUUAUGUCCCCCCCGUUGUAUAUUUUCUCAAGUAAUAUAAUUUGGGCGUGAGGGCCUAGCCCCCCCAGCUUUGACUGGGUUCCAGCCCUCGUUAAAUAUUUUUUUUAAACAUAUGUUUCCGUAUUAAAAAAGGCCACAUUUUGAGCUUUCGCACUGGGCACCCAAAAACACAGGACCGGCCCUGGUUAUGGAGACAUUAAUUGAGAACUUUUAAGUUUUGGUUUUCGGAAAUUAUUAAAAUUUAAGUAUUUUCAUGAUUGAGAUUUUAUCUUAGUUUUGAGAAUUUAUAUUAAGUUAUUUGAAUUAGUUUUAAAUUAAACUAUGUUUGUACCAUACUUGACCAAUCCCAAAACUACUGAGCACCGGUCAACGUUAUACCGUCAAGGACCCAGAAGAGUUUCCCUCCAACCAGGAGGCUAAUCACAGUGCGACACAUGUUGACAUCAGAAGCCAAUCAUAGCGCGACACGUGUCAACAUCAGAAGCCAAUCACAACAUGACACGUGUCAAUGUCAGAACAAAGCUAGAAACUCUAUAAAAGGAGAUCAUUCUCCCACAAUAUUUCCUAAUGUCAUUUGUACUAAAUCAUUCAUUAGUACUCACUAAAGGAGAGCUUGAACCUAUGUACUUGUGUAAACCCUUCACAAUUAAUGAGAACUCCUCUACUCCGUGGAUGUAGCCAAUCUAGGUGAACCACGUACAUCUUGUGUUUGCUUCCCUGUCUCUAUCCAUUUACGUACUCAUCCAUACUACUGAUCGGAGCAAUCUAGCGAAGGUCACAAACUUGACACUUUCUGUUGUACCAAAGUCCUCACUAAUUUUGUGCAUCAACAAACUGCUUACGAAGUUUGAAGUUUGGAAAGUAAUUAUUUAAAAUCCAUAGACCUUUCGAGGUUGCAAUUUAUAUUUUUGAUUAGAGUUCGAUCUCACGAACGCGUAGGCGCAAACCGUUCGUGAAACGGAGUUAUAACGAAGAAGUUAUUAAUGUUUAAAGUCAGGGAUAUUUUGGUAAUUUUAAAUUCAUUUAGAAGACUCCAGAAAUCUGGAGCAAUAUGUUGUGCCACGUGUGUGGCUAUGAUGAAUGUAAAAUAAAUGAUGGACAACUGAGAUUGAAAGAAGAGAAUAGAAAUGAGGAAAAGGAAGAAGGAGAGAAGGGGGUGGCCAAUGGGAGAGAAAAAAAGGAGGGGACAUGAGAGAAGGGGGUGCGGGGGAUCCUUAACCCGCGAGUAGCAACCCGACCCGGUCGGUUUUGCUUGCCAUUUCCGACGUCCGACGGGUUUUAGCCCAUUUUCCGGCGAAUUACACCAAAAUAACACUUGCAAAACCCUCCAUGGCCUUCCCUCUUCCUAUUAUACCCAAAAAAAAAAAAUCAAGGGAUUGGGACUUGAAAAUGGGAGAAUCCGCACAGUGGGGGUGCGGCGGGUGUGUGUUCGAGACUAUCAAAUCCAAAGCUAACUACCUCCAACUUCACCACAAUUAGACUUCCCUUGAGGCCUAGAACAAAGCCCAAACAACUGUAGGGACGGCGGAGCACCGGAGGUGACAAUUCGAGGCCACACAUGUAUAGGGUUUUCGGCGAGUUUGGGCCAAAUUGGAGCCUUUCUAGGCCAAAUUGGACUUGUUGGGCCUCUCAGCAGUUUGGGAUGGAUGGUGAAGAUGACUUCACUGUUGCAGAUUUAGCAGCUCCGUAUUGGGAGUUUCCGGCAGGGCCCAUUUGUGGUGCCAUGUCUCUGCAGGCCACCCCACAGUUGAAGCAUGGCUCAGCAAUUCCCAGUGGCUUCACCCUGCAGUUAGCUUAGCUUUAAGAGAUGAAGGUCGACUGAUCAGUGACCGGAUGAAGCACCUGCGAUACGAGGUACAUUGCAUUUGUUAUAUCUGAAAUUGCUAAGUAAUUAGUAGUAUUGGUUUGUAAAGCCUGUUGCAGUGGCAGGAGUGUAACAAAGUGACUGACUUUCAGCUUGAACUUUUUCGGAAUCUGGUUUUGUUGAAGAGUUGAUUCUGAACAUGCUUUGAUGCCUCUUUUCAGGUCCCAGUUAGGGUUGCCGGGGGGGUUUGCUAUUUGAGCUUUUGGGACAGUCUAUUGGGAAUCCAUUUGUUGAUGAGGAUGAUAUCCCCAUUGUACUUAGAUCGUGGCAAGCGCAAAACUUCCUUGUAACGGUUUUGCAGAUUAAGGGGCCCGUGUCAAGUAUAAAUGUGUUGGGUAUCACAGAAGUUCAGGUUGUUCAUCUUUGACUGAUCCUUUCAGUGGCUUUGAACUUCUUACUGUGUUAUUUUUUUGUGCAUGCAACUUAAGGGCUGGUAGGUUAAUCCUUUGCUUUGGUUAGGAACUUGUUUCAACUGGAGGCUAUAAUGCACCGAGAACAGUGCAUGAAGUCAUAGCACAUCUAGCUUGCCGCCUUACUAGAUGGGAUGACAGGUAACUUUAGUACUAUCGUUCUGAUAUAGCAAAUUACAAAAGCCUACUUACUGUGGAAAUGGCACAUCAAUUAUUGGCGUUGGCUCAUGCAUGUACUACAACUAAUUCUAUUCCGUUGUCCAUAAUUUUAUGUAUGCAUUGUUACGUCUUUGUCAUUUCUUAUUCUCUAACCUGUGGUUCCCUUCAAUGUCUCCGCUGUUUCAGGUUAUUCCGUAAGUCCAUAUUUGGAGCAGCUGAUGAGGUUGAAUUAAAUUUUAUGAACAGGUUCUUCCAUAUGCAUACAACCAUUCCCCGUAAAGUAAUAUUACCUCGUUGAUUACUAUUUAGUUUGUAAUUCACUUAUAAAUAUCUUUGAAUUUAGGUUUUAAAUCGUUGAUUAUAAGUGUUCAAAUAUGAAUUAUAAUAGAUUUUUGAACGGAAAAAUAUAUUUUGAAAAACAUGAAUAUGAUAGUUUGUUAUUAUAGUAAGAGAAAUAAAAGAAAAAUUGAAAAACAGGAUCGGUAUGAUGAUAGCGACUAUUAAUGUAGUAGUCGGUACAUUGAUGGCAACUGUUUGUGAACAUAAUCAGUAACAAAGUACCGAUUGUGUCAUUUUCUAUUUUAUUUAUUUAUUUUCUACGUUUGCGUUUUUCUUUUUUCAUUGAAUUUUUUUUCUUCAACAUUACUUUAUUUAGAUUCAAAUACAUUUAGAUUUAUAUUUAUACCCUUGUUUUCGAGUGUGGACAACAAUGGUCGUGUAUCACCCCAAUCCCGAAUAAUUUAUUUCAGAUAAUAAUUUUGAUGAUAGGCCCACUUUAAACUCUUGAUAAUUUUCUAUUCAAAGGUUAAGGUUCUUUGCUUUUAAUUCCUUAAUUCCACAAAAUGGUCUAAACCAUAAUUCUCUCACCAAACAUACCAUUAUUCAAUUAUCUUACCAAUUUAUUUCUAAUUUAUUCUCUUAGAUCAAGACUCCAACUAAAUAUUAAUUCUCGAUUAUUUAGUCUCACUUAUUUUAUGGCAGCAUCUAACGUCUCGUUAGACUGCCUACGUACCCUAAACAGGGAUCAAGCCAUUCGUAGUUCACAUUUCCAAAAUUCAACCCAAAACAGUGGAGAUGGCAGCGCAUGUGACCAGUCAUAAUCGUGCUUUCCGCCAUCUAUAGAUGACAACAGAUCAUCAAUGCCAAAUCUUCCCAACUUGGCCGAUCCAACUGACAGCCUCCCCAAUUUCAUAGAAACGUCGGAAGACUCGUCGGAGGAAGUUUCAGAGAAAGUCCGGCGGUUCUUCGAGAAGAGAUCCAGGUAGCCUUCAUCGGAGUCCCUCGGCGCCAAGUUCAAGCUCUGACCUUGCUGGUGCUGCAACCCCGUCGGAAAGUUCCUCCCUCCGGCCAGAGAUUCCAUCACAUUCCUAUUCAUCGUCGCUCCCCAAUUCCUCUAUAUGCCCUUCACACCAUAUCUCUCAGAAAGAGAAAGCUCAUGGAAGACCAAGAGCACGAGCUUGGACUUCAUGAAACUGAGGGGGCAAGGACUGGUCCCAAUGGGCGCCCCCAACGGAACCCUCUUAUCGACGACGUCGAGGCUACCGCGAUAGCAGUUGUCAAAUGCGGCUCUGAUGAAGAAGGCGAUCAAGGUAGAGAAGGAGACCAUGAUGAGUAAAUAUACUAAAACACAUGAUGGCGGUUCUGGAGAACGGUGCAAAUGUACUCGGUGAGCUGGACGACGGAACAUAUCUGGACACGGUUGGUCUUGAUUCGGUCGUUAAGCUGCGAAGAGAUCAUGGCAUGCUGAGACAAAACGUCGUCGGAUACCAUGAAUCGGUACCUCUCCUGUCUGCCGAUGAGCUUAAUAUCGACCACAUGCACCAACAGCUUCAACUUCAAGUCGCCGCCUAUCACCGCCACGAUGACAUUUGGUGUCAGGUUCACGGGCAUUUUGAGAAACCCUAGGGAUAGGCGUGUGUUUCGGGGAGGAGGACUACUGGGAGGGAAGGGUAGAUUAGAAAUUUGACGAGAGAUUGACGACGGAGUAAGAUACGAUUGUGUAAUUGGCGGAUUAACCGAGUGAGAGAGAGGGAUUUUUCAGAGGGGGGCUGGUGUCUCUUAGGUUUUGUAGAUCCACAGUGGACAGUGGUGAGGUUGUGAAGGUUUCACGGUGGUGAGAUGAGAAAUUGAGAGAGAAACGACAUAGCUUUUCGUGUCGAUUCCCACAGACGACACCAAAUGUUGAUGCACAAAAUUCGGAAGAUCUUGGACCAACGUAAAUCCGACCGUGAAUCACACAAACGCACAAGAACACAAAGAUGUAUCGUGGUUCACCCUAAUGUUUGGGCUACGUCCACACUGAUGUUGAUUCCAUUUCACUGUAUGAAUGUAUGGAUUACAAUAGAUCGGCAAUGGAGCUCUUUGUGGAUGUAGCCCUUUCCAUUUUGCUCUUUGUUUGGUUGAGAGGGUAUUGCCCUCUAUUGUUGUGAGGGAUGUGUUUCUUCUCCUCUUAGUGAAUGUGAGGCCCCCUUUUAUAGAAUAAAGGUUCCCUCCCCUUUUACAUAAAUCAUGGGCUUAGGUAUGAGGUCCAAAGACGAGGCCAAUAUAUGGUACCAACAAUAAUAAUAAGAAAACUGUUUUCUUUCUGAAUAUACUAACCUUCUGUUUUGAAAACACAUAUAGUACUACAUACUAGGUUUUUCUCGAAACUCUACAUGUUAUGAAAAUGUUCGUACGAUAAAAUCACUAAAGUACUCAAAUAGGGGUAUCAUAGUCGCCCGAAGGCAUAAUUAUCUCCCGAAGGUGAAGAUGUACCACUCUGGGUUACGUCAGAGAAGAAAUAUAUCUACAUAACACACCGACACUAGCCGUGGUGUGAAGUCUAGAAUUAUUGUUUGGCUUUCCUUGUCAAAUCUUGUAAAUUGUACCACACAUGCUCUAGAUAGAUUUAGGGUUCAAUGUCACUUUUGGGAUCUUGCUGCUGGAAAUAUUCUUUCAAGAGCUUAACUUCUUACAUCAAAGGUUUGGUCAUUCAUAUGCAUUUCACGUCAUUAUUUCCAGUUCAUUAUGUCUAGUGGUUCAAUCUAGUCAAAAUUUCUCGCUACUUUCCAGUUUGCUGGGCACACAUAUUAAAACAGCCCACACUGGUCAACUGACACCUUUUUCCCGAGUGAUUUUUAUCCCUAGAUCUUUCCUGAUUGUUUGUGGACAUGACAUGUGGCUUUUCUGGUCCCCUUCUUGUCUUAAAAUCUCAAGCCCUCUUUAUAAAGAUCAUGUUAGGGUUUAUUUGGUUUUGGGGGUUUGAGAUUGGAAAAGUUUUUUAGAGUUUUAUUUUCAUAUCCAUCUCUCAGCUCUCCUAGGAACAUCAAGCAGAUUUAUGGGUAAUGUUUUUCAUCGAAUAUUUCUAAAUCUAUCUUUGAAAUUGCUUGCUUAAUUCGUUUUAUAUGCUCAUUUGUUUUGGUUAGGAGUUUUACAUUUUUAGAAAAGAGUUGAUUUUAGCUUUGAGCUACCUCUUGUGUUCUUACUUGAAAACCCUAGCCACAAAAUCACACCCAUGCACUAAAUACCAACAUCAUUGCAUAUUGGGUAGCAUUAUUUUUGUGAAUUUGAUUUUUGUUUUAGGUCAAGUUUUUCCAAAUUUCAAAUCAAUGAACUGACCUUUUUUUUUUUAUUCUCGUUAGUUUCAUCUUUCAAGUGUUUGACAAGUGAAACUGACUAGACAUUGAAUCCAGAAUUGUAUAUCAUUAUAUGCAUACUUUGUUGUUGGUCUCGGUGCCACAAGGUGAAGAGUUUAGAAGGAGCUAGCAUCUUGUGAAUACUGGAGACAACACUAUUUCAGUGCCACAAAGUGAUGAGCUCAGGAGGAGCUGCCACUUCGUGAAGACCGAAGGAAUCCAUCUCGUGUAAGGUAAGGUUAGACAAAGGUAAAGCUGCUUCAUAGAUAGGGAUCUAGGAAUUGAGUUUGUGUGGUCUUUGUAUGAACCUUGAUUAUACUAGUGGAUUGAACUUGGUAGAGAGUCCCCAGUUUUUUAACCCAGAGGUGGGGUUUUUCCGGCCAAAAACUUCCUUGUGUUCAAUACUAUACAUAGCAUUCUUUAUGACCAAAUAACCAUUGCUAGAGAUAAUUGUUGUAGGAUUUGCCAGUAUUGACACGUUGUUAACCAAAUAAACAUAACUUAAGAAUCAAGGCUAAAACAUAACUAAAGAUCACAUUGUCUUGUUUUAGCUUUAUAAGUUUGCUUAGUUUAUAUGCUUGUGGGCACCUAACAAUCUAUACUCUGUUGACUAGUACGUUUGACUAGUUAGUAUAGUUGAUUUCAAAGUUUACACUGCAUAUUAUGAGUAAUGAACUGAAUUGUUGUUUAUUAGGAUAACUUGUAGUGAACUAAGUUUGAUUCGUAGAUUUGCGUUUGUUUAACUGAUACAAAUCUGUACUUAAUUGACUGGUAAGCUUGACUAGUCAAUCCAGCAUGCUUUAAUUCAUAAUUGCUUUGUCAUUAUUGUUUGCAUAAUGAACUAAUAUAUAAAUGUGUUCAAGCUUAAGAAUUAUUGUUGUGAAACUAAUCUAGGUAGUCUCUGAUUAGUUGAACAUAUUGGUCAGUUAGGCUUUGCUCCUGCAACUGCAUUUUUUAUCACCGACUAACUUGUAACUAGUUGACUAGCUCACUUAACUAGUUUACUGUGCAAAGUUAAAUUUUUAUUUGCUGGAGAUUCCGCCUAGCACCCGAUUUCACGUAGCUAGUGAAGUUGUCCGACACUAGUUUCACCAGUGAAGCUGGAAGUAUGCCAUAAUACCUUAUCGCUCCUUUACUGUGUCAUAUGGCCAUAGACAUAUACAUACUCGUUUUGUGUGAAUGUGAUGUAUGACUACCCACUAAGUAAGUAUGGAAAACAUAAUCAUAUUUCUCGUAUCAAAUCAUCGGAGCUCAAAAGCUCAAAGCACCAUAGAUCAUAUUUCUCAAAUCCAUAAUAUCUUAAAAGACGUAAAAACUAUAGUUCGUAAAUCUUUCAUGAAACGUUAAUAAUAAAAUAUGCUUUUCAUGUAUGCAAUCCUAGCAUUUAAGAAAAUCAUAUAUUUAAGAAGGGGUCCACCCACAGAUACUUCGUCGCCAAAGAGCCGUUCGAGUUAGGGAGGACAGGAUCACAACUAAAAAACACACCUAUGCACAUAAAAUGACCAAUUAGUGAAACCCUACUAAGACGAUUGAAUUUGGGAAAACGGACAUUGGAUUCAGAUUCGAGACAUCAUAAAACCUAAGGAGGAACAAUGAGUUUCCCCACGCGCUGCCACGAGGAGGCAGCCCAGGUCACCACUCUCCACCUCACAUGCCGAGAUGGGCUGCCGGAAGUUGGCUGAAAAAGUCGCUGACACCGUCGUGGAAGGCAGCGGAGCACAGUACCUCUAGUGGAGACGCGUAUACUCCACGCACCGGGCAUCGCAACACCACAGGCCCGCGAAUACAAGCGUACUUACCUUCCUCCUGAGGCCUGCAAAUUUGCAAGUUGCAGGGCUAACUUUCAGAGUUCCAAACGAGCUUAAGUCUCAACCAAAAUCGAUGAUACAAAAACCUAGGUGAAGCUAGAAGUGUAGGGAAUAGGUCUAUACCUAUUUAAGACUGUGACAUGGUCGGAGUUGGCCGGAAAAAAUGUCUGAAAGUGGCUCGACGGCCAUGAUUCUGAGUUCCAAAAAUCUGGGGAAAUCACCCAUCUGUAAUAACUUUCUCGUAGCAAGGUUAUAAAUAGUUCCAGAUCAUCAUUAAAAGAGAAUUUAGGGAGUUCUAAGGCUUACCAUGGUUGAAACUUCAAGGAGCCCGUCGAGAAACAUGGCACCGACGGUGGUUCGAUUUAACCAUUAGAAGAGAUAAAGAGAUGAGGGGGGAGAUAAAGGUCUCAAAAUUUGUCCUUUCAUUCUGUCAUACAAUUAGGUAGUGAAGGGUGUAAGGUGGAGGUGGUUUGGUCGUAAGGCUCACUAGAGUAAGGUAGAGGUGGUUUGGUCAUGAGGCUCAUCGGAGUACGGCGAGGUGGCGUGGUGGAGCAUGGUCUCUCUGCACUUACAGAAAGAGAUAGAUGAGUAAGAGUUGAGAGAAAGAGAGAGUGUAAAGCUAGAGAGAGAGAAUGAGAGUUGUGAGUGAGAAAGGUGAGAGAUGUCCACGGGAAGAAGAAAAAGAAAGAAAAAGGGAGGGAAGAGAGAGUGUCGGGAGACAUCAAAAUAGUGGUGGGCCCCACUGGCACAACAAACAAAGUAAGAAAAGAUGAAAUGGAAAAAUAUCUCGUGGAACGUAAAAUUAUCGAAAUGCCCCUACGUUUUCAAAUUCCGUAAAAUCCUCAUUCUACCUCCAAAUUCAAUUCCGUUUGCGCCCACAUGUUCAUAACGGCGAGUACUACAAGGAUACGUUAACAUAAUGGGUUAUAAGUCUCACGAUACGAGACAAAAAUCAAUUAUUUUGCCUCGAAGGGCAUUUUGGUAAAUUCAAGCUUUAAAAUUAUAAAAACCGUAAAAUUUAGGACAGGUCGUUACAAUUAGGAUUUGGAUACACAAAAUUUUGUGAGGUCCUCAUAAUGUAUUUCAAUGCAUUGGCAAAACCAUGUAGAGGGCUAUAUAUGGUGGGUUGUGGUCAAGGCAGUUAGGAAAAAAAAUUCAAAUAACCCUACAAUCUUAACUUGUUUUAAACAUUACUUCUGGUCAAUCUAGCGAACGGCUUGCUUCCCCUAAGUGUAACCAACCAUAGAUUUACUUGUUGAGGAUGCUUAUCACCUUAAUUGCUUCUUGUAAUGACUUUUUGAAUCAUCAAUCUACUAUGGUUUCCUUUCAAAAAAAAAAAAUAUAUAGCAAUGGCGGAGCUAAAAAAAUAUUUUAUGGGUGGGCUAGCUAAAAAAAUUACCCUAAAAUCAAAUGUUUUGUUUUUUGCUACAUACAUUUUGUAUGCAAAAAAUUAAGUUUAACUUCUGUAUUUGUAUACUUAAAAUUUGUCUGGCACGAACUCAAUAAGCUUUGCAAUUGCAAACUAACAAAAUUACAAUGAAUCAUCAAAUUUCACACAUAUUUAGAUUUAAACACAAGAAAAAGAUAGAAAACUUGAUAUCUCAAUUACAAUCACACAAUUAGCACAAAGCAAAACACUGAAAGUAAAAGUAAAGUCAAUCUUAAAAAAAUAAUGGGUGAAAGACUGUUUACUACCCUCAUGUUUAGUGGUUUUCAACAUUUAGUACAUCAAGUUUUUUUCGUCUCAGAGUCAUACCUAAAGUGUAAAUUUUGGGACAGUCUCAUACAUCCGUUAGUCAAACUGUUAAGUUUUUCGUUAACUGUGACGUGGCGCACUGACUAGACGUCACGUGUCAUCCACGUUUUUUUUUUCUUUUCUUUUCUUCUUCCUUCUCCUUCUUCUUCUUCCUCCGACUGCAACUUUCUUUUUUUUCUUUUUUUUUUUUUUUUUUUUUGCUUCUUCCUUCUCCUUCUUCCUUCCUUCCUCAUUCCUUCCCUUUCUUCCUUCUCAUUCUCCUUCUUCUUCCUCCGAAAUCUGGAAAAGUUUGGUUUUUUUUUUUUUCUUCUUUCUUCUUCUUCCUCCUUCUUCCUUCUUCUUCCUUCUCCUUCUUCCUCCGAAAUCUGGGGAAGUUUGUUUUUUUUUUUUCUUUCUUCCUUCUUCUUCCUCCUUCUUCCUUCUUCCUUCUUCCUUCUUCCUUCUUCUUCUUCUUCUUCCUCCGACUGCAAUUUCUUCUUCGUCCUUCUCCUUCUUCUUCUUCCUUCCCCUUCUUCCUCCUUCUUCUUCUUCUUCUUCCUCAAAAAAAAAAAAAAAAAAAAAAAAAAAAAAAAAAAAAAACUUUCAUCUUCCCCCAAAUUCGGAGGAAGAAGAAGAAGAACGAAGAAGGGGAAGGAAGAAGGAGAAGAAGGAGGAAGAAAAAAAAAAAAAAAAACUGAAUCUGGGCAGAUUCGGAGGAAGAAGAAGAAGAAGAAGAAGAAAGAAGAAAAGAAAAAAGAAAAAACUGAAUCUGGCUAGAUUCGGAGGAAGAAGAAGAAGAAGAAGGAAGGAGGAAAGAGAAAGAAGAAGAAGAAGAAGAAGAAGAAAAAAAACAAAAAAAACAAAAAAAAAAAAAAGCUUCCCCAGAUUCGGGAAGAAGAAGGAGAAUGAGAAGGAAGAAGAAGGAAGAAGGGGAAGGAAGGGAAGGAAGGAGGAAGAAGGAAGGAAGGAAGGAAGAAGGAGAAGGAGGAAGAAAAAAAAAAAAAAAAAAAAAAAGAAAGUUGCAGUCGGAGGAAGAAGAAGAAGGAGAAGGAAGAAGAAAAGAAAAGAAAAAAAAAACGUGGAUGACACGUAGCGCCCAGUCAGUGCGCCACGUCACAGUUAACGAAAAACUUAACAGUUUGACUAACGGAUGUAUGAGACUGUCCCAAAAUUUACACUUUAGGUAUGACUCUGAGACGAAAAAAACUUGAUGUACUAAAUGUUGAAAACCACGAAACAUGAGGGUAGUAAACAGUCUUUUACCAAAAAAUAAUAGUUGAAACUAAUAUAAACCCCACUAUAUCAAAGCAUAAUAAUCUUGAACAAAAUGACAUCACAAUUUUCAUGGUAACUUUUAUAUUUUUAGUUGUGCUAAAUACUCACUGGGCUAGUUUCUUUUAAAAUAAUUUUUCUUACACAUUUUUUUUGUCUAUUAUAUAGACUACACACUAAAGUAUAUAUACAUAUUGCUACAAAUCUUCCCUGGGCUACAGCCCACCAUAGCCUUUAGUGUGGCUACGCCAUUGUAUCCCAGUAUUAACUUGGAAGUUCAAUUCUUUGUGAGAUUUAUGGAAAAUAGAAGAUCAUAAAUCAAUGUAACAAUUUCAAGUGGAAACUUUUGUCACAAAUGACGCGGUAAUACCGUACUCUAUAAUUUCUCUCCGGAACACAAUCACUGAUUUUCAAUUUUUUUUUUGUUAGAUUAUUUUUCCCAGAUUAAAGAGUAAAAUCCUAGCAUGAACCGUUUUCAUUAUUGAUUUGUCUUCAAAAGAAGUUUUUUAAAGAAUUCAUUGUUUAACAAGUAUAACUUUGGCUAGCCCACCAAUGGAAAAAUUCUUGGUUUUGCCCUUGUUUCAACGAUCCAACCGGCUAUUUUUAUGUCCUAGUGUUUCUCUUUGUUUUCUUCAGUUGAACAUAUGAAAAGAUGAGUGCAAAUGAAUUACUUCAAUCUAAACUGCAAUGAAUGAAAUUUUGAACUUAGUCGCAGAGGAAGAUGUAUUGUUCGAGCCAAUUUUGAGUAAACUUGCAAAUGUGUCAAAAAUUUGUCAGAGGAAAUUCUCUAAUCCGAUAGCCUUACAACAAACAAGCUUGCUUAACGCACUAGCUUUGAGUUUCGACUUCUUGAUCCGCUUGGCUACAAUCCACCCCUACCCCCACACAGGUUUAAGUCUCUAUAAAUUAGGUUUGAUUGAUCAGCCUCCCUAAAACUAGGCUCUUUCAACGUUUUGUUACAAAUGUGCUAAAUUUUAAAAUAUGACCUUAGUACAAACCUAAACUCAAGGCCCAUCCAUAUCUUUACCAAUAAGUUGGUUGCCCAAAAUUGUUACUCCCAAUAUUCGAUGUCACUAUAUUUUUUGUUUUUUUUGUCAAAGAUAGAUUUUGUUAGAUUAGUCACUGAUGAGGUUUGAAUCCACGUUGUCAUGUAAGGACUCAACAUUUUUUCACCAUUGUAGUAAAGGAUCACUUGCUCUAUGUCACUAUAUUGAAUUACCUAAACAUCAGAUGGUUUUUACUUAUGAACAUAUAUUGUAUAACUUGGUUGUGUACAAAUAAAGCCCUUAAAAAGAAUCCCAUAGUCAACAAAACCUAAGAUUUGAUUUGAAUAAAAAAACGUUAAAUCUAGUUAUCAACGACAUAAUAUUACAUUAAAUUCAACCAAAUUACGAGAAAACAAUUAAAUUUAGUUGCAUUUUCUCGUUUCCUACUUUAAUUAUUACUUGUUCAUGUCAUAAAAAAUCAAUAUUUAUUUAUUUAUGUGUAUGUUUACUAUAAUUAAUUUUUAGAUACUCAAUUAUCAAUAUCAUUACAAGAAAUUCGUGUCAUUUUAAAUGAAAAACAAUAUUUAAUUAUAUUCAUUAAAAACCCAUAAAAUAAACAAAUUUCAGAUUUUGGCUUAUAUGGUAAAAACUGCCCAACUUAGAAUGUGUGCAUUGACAAAUGCCAAAUAUGACUGAAUUGCCAUUUAAGCCACAAUUUUAAACCCAUCUCGAAAAUGAAUUGCAGCCGUACACCAAAAUCCAACGGUUGAAAAUUGAAAUAAAAAUUUGACCGUUGGGGCCUAACGUUGGUCGCGAGCUUCAAAUAGUACCGAUUGCUUUGCUUUUAGGUUCCUGGGUCCUGAGACAAGAAACGCAGAGCGAAACAAAGAAAGAGAGAAAGAAGGUGCCUUUACAUUAAGGAAGUAACUGAAUCCGGAAACCCUAGAGGGUGAGAAGGAGAUCUCAGCCAUCAAUGGAGGAAGUCAGAGCAGCGGUUGUUCCACAGCAACCCAAAGGUGUUCGCCGAUCCCACUGCUGAUUUUUGAAUGAAAAAUCAGAAUCUUUUAAAUUCAAAUCUGGGUUCUUUUGAUGUUAUUUUGUCUGGGUUUUGUGGAAUUGUUCGAUUAGUUUCUGAGAUUUUUUAUGUGAUUUUUUUUUCUGGGUUUUAGUAAUUUUUUCUGGAUUUUGUAGAAUUCUUCAUUUGAAUUUAUGGUUAUUUGAUGUCAUUUAAUCUGAUUUUGUUGAAUUAUUCGUUUAAUCUCUGAGUUCUUUGAUGUGAUUUUAUCUGGGCUUUGUAGAACUCUUCAUUUAAAUUUCUGGGUUUUGUAGAAUUCUCCAUUUAAAUUUCUGGGUUCUUUUGAUGCGAUUUUGUCUGGGGAUUAUCAAUUUUUCUUGUUUAUUUUGAUCUUCCCGUUUCUUUUCUUGUUCAUUUUUUGAAAUGGGAAUGUUGGUUUUCUUCUGGAUAUUCGGUUUAUUAUUGAUUGAUCUUUAAUUCUGUGAUUCUUUGUGGGUUCGGUGCUGAUUGGGGAUUUGUAUUCUGGGGUUUUAUUUCGUGUUCUUUCUUAUUGUUGUAGCGAGUCAGAUUUUGUUUCUCGGAAAUCUUCAUGUUUUAAUGUCCGAUUUCUUCGAUUUUGAUGUGUUUUGCGUUUGUUCUUCCUGAAGGUGGUGAUGAACUCAGAAGGAACAGGCGAGUUCUUCAGGACAUUGGCAAUCGCCCCAUCACUAGGUCUCUCUCUCUCUCUCUCUCUCUCUCUCUCUCUCUCUCUCUUCCACAAACACACAACCAAUUAACUAACGAAUUCUUGACUGGCAGGAGUUUUCAUGCACAACUGAUAGCAAAGGCACAAGAAAAAGGAGUUAACAAUGCGGUAAUAAAAAUUUACCAUUGUUUUUGUUCUUAUGAAUUUUGGUUUUUGACUCUUAGGUUAAUUAUUCUCAUGGAACUGGAUUCUAUAAAUUUUGUAGAACCCUGUGGUCCUGCCCGUGCUUGAUGAUAAGGUAGCUCUCAAUCGAAAGCGUUUUCCGGUGAAGAAGGUAGUCCCAAGGAAGGAAAUUGAAAAGCCAAAAACUGAGGCCGUGGUUGUUAUCAGUUCUGAUGAAGAAGAAGAAAAGAAGGAACCUGUUAAUCGAUGCAAGCCAGAAGAAGUGAGGAAGGAAGUCAAGACUCUGACUUCGAUCCUCACAGCUCGAAGCAAGGUGAGUUUCGAUGUUAUUUUGGAAUGAUGUCUUGAAUUUAACUUUGCUUUGUUGGAGUACUGAAAUUUUUGUUUGCUGCAGGCUAUGGCUAUUGGAGUGAACUCCAAGCCGAAAGAAAAGAUUGUUGAAAUCGAUUCAGCUGAUGUCAACGAUGAAUUAGCAGUGGUUGAAUACAUUGAUGACUUGUACAAGUUCUACAAGCUCACCGAAGUGUGUUCUAUUUCCUUCAUUCCUCCCCAAUUCAAUUUCCCCUUUUCCUAUCUCUUAUCUUACAGAAGAAAAUUUCCUAUGCAGGAUGAUAGCCGAGUUCAUGAUUACAUGGAGUCACAGCCAGACAUAAACUCGAAGAUGAGAUCAAUCCUCGUAGACUGGUUGGUAGAGGUUCACAAGAAAUUCGAGCUGAUGCCUGAAACCUUCUACCUGACUGUGAACAUACUUGAUCGGUACCUUUCGAUGAAGAUCGUUUCUAGGAGGGAACUUCAGCUAGUUGGCAUUAGUUCUAUGGUCAUAGCAUCCAAAUAUGAGGAAAUCUGGGCUCCACAGGUGGGUUUCUUCACUUGUUUUAGUAAGUUUCACCUGAUUUCGAACGAUACAAUUUAUUCUGAAAUUUGAAAAUGGGGUUUUUGAUAUGCAGGUCAAUGACUUUGUUUGCUUGUCAGACUAUGCAUACACUGCCAAUCAGAUACUGCGCAUGGAGAAAGCAAUUCUGGGGAAGCUGGAGUGGUAUCUGACUGUUCCCACCCCUUAUGUCUUCCUGUCUCGAUACAUCAAAGCUUCUGUUUCGCCUGAUGUGGAGGUAGUUAAUUUUCUAUGGUCUUUUAGAAAAACAGAAUCAACUUUUAAACUCCCUUUUAUUGAAAGAAGAAAAAAAACUAAUUUGUUUUUCUUACUAUCUUAAUGCAGAUCAAGAACAUGGUUUUCUUUCUCGCUGAGCUUGGAAUCCUGCAUUAUCCGACCAUCAUUCUGUACUCCCCAUCCCUGAUUGCUGCUGCAGCCGUCUACACUGCUCGUUUUACUCUGGGUAAAGUUCCUGUCUGGACUGAAACUCUGAAGCACCACACUGGCUACAACACAGAACAGUUAAGGUAGUCUUUCUUUUGUCAAUCAUCCGACUAUUUAUCUUUCUAAAUUGGAUUUAAAGUUUAUUAGCUGUGAUUGGAAACAAGUGCAUAUUUACUAAUUCAAUUGUGUUCUCUGUCCUGCAACAGGGACUGUGCCAAGCUCUUGGUUGGCCUUCACUCGAAUGCUGCAGGAAGUAAAUUCCAAGCUGUUUUCCGCAAAUUCUCAAUGCCGGAGUAUGGUGCUGUAGCUCUUUUCGUUCCAGCCAAAAGUUUUCAUUCAUCAUCAUGAAGUGUUGCUUCUGAGUCCAGUUUACUUUCUGUAGACAAUACACCCAUAUGCUAGUUGGGGUGCUUUUGAGUCGGAUAGAAGAAGAUUAUCCAAACCGUGUAUUGUUCUACAAUACUAGUCUCUUUCGGUGUGUCGAUUUUGUGCAGUCGUGUAUAUCCUCUCCUCAGGUUUCGGAUUCUUCAUAGUUGUGUUGUUGCAACAAUAUAGGCUAUAUAUCCAUUUUACUGUGUUCAAAUUUAGUUACAAUUCAAGCUGCAAACUUUCAGUUUAGAUCAUGCAAUGCAAAAUUGCAGUAUUAAUAACAUCUGUUCACUACUGUCUACAACAUUCCUCGAGUGUCAGGAUCCCGUAAACAGCUGAAAGUACACAACAGAACGCUAAAUCGAACACAAUGCAUGUUACCACUGUCUUCGACAGUUCUCCCUAAUUCGUAACACAAUGUCCUGUUACCACUGCCUACGACAGUCCUCCAAUCGAUGAAAUCUACUGAAGAAAAUACCUUUACUCUUCCUCUAUAUAUACGUAUAGCACAAUGUCUAAUUGCCGCUGUUUAUCAGCUAGCGUCUUAAUUAAGUUGGAAGACACGUGUCAAAAAAUUAUCAAGACGAGAGACGUGGUCAUUCUCUCUUCAAAACCAAUUUUAAUGAUGCAAACUUACAUGGUAAAAAACUGCCCGAGGUUCCUUUUGUGGACCAGGACGAAUGCCACACUGAAUUACCAAAUUACACCCACUAAUCGUAGCCGUAGGAUAAUCCAACGGUUUUGCCCAAAAAUAAAAAGCAAAAUCCAACGGUCAGGAAUUCAAAUGAAAAGAAUAUGACCGUUGGAGCAAAUGUGUUCUGGCGAGCUUCAAAUAGUAUACCCCUUCGCGUUGCUUUCAGACAACUGAGACCAGAAACGCAAAGCACAGAGCAGCAAAUCAAAGAAAGAAGAGAGAGAGAAAGAAGAGAGAGAAGGAAGAGGUAGAGAGAGAGAAGAAGGCGAAUUUCCUUGGACGAAUCGCUGACUCGAGAGACCCUAGAAGGCGAGAAGGAGAUCUCAGCCAUCAAUGGAGGAAGCCAGAGUCAGAACAGGGGUUGUUCCGCCUCCACCCAAAGGUAUUCGCUGUUCCCAUUUCUGAAUUUUGAAUAGACGAUUUGAACCUAUUGUAUUUUGAAUUUCUGGGUUCUUUGAUGUGAUUUUAUCUGGGUUUAUCUUCCCCUGAUCAUUUGUGGGUUGGGAUUUAGGAUUUUUUUUUUCUUUAUGUUGUAGAAUUCUUUGUUUAAAUUUCUGGGUUUUGUAGAAUUCUUCGUUUAAACUUCUGGGUUUUGGAGAAGAAUUCAUUUAAAUUUCUGGGUUCUUUUAUUGUGAUUUUUUUCUGGGGUUUAUUUUGAUCUGCCCUUUUGUUUUUCUUUAUUAUAUUUAUGAAUUUGGAAUUCGGAAUGUGGGAUUUGUUGGGUUUCAUCUGUUUUUGUUGUUUACCGUUGAUCUGGUACUCUUUGUGGGUUCAAUAAUUUCAACGCUAGUUAGGGCUUUUUCUUCUGGGGGUUUUCUUUCGUGUUUUAACUUCUGAUUUCGCCGAUUUUCUUGUUUCUUGAAGGUGGUGAUGGACUCAUAAAUAACAGGCGAGUUCUUCAGGACAUUGGCAAUCGACCCAUCACUAGGUCUGUCUGUCUCUCUCUCUCUCUCUCUCUCUCUCUCUCUCUCUCUCUCUCUCUUGACAUUGGUAAUGAACCAACAAAUUGUUGACUUGCAGAAGUUUUCGUGCGCAACUGAUAGCAAAAGCACAAGAAAAAGGAGUUAAAACUGUGGUAAUAAUCUCUGACUAUUAAGAAAAAGAUAAAAAGGAAAGAAUCCUUUAUUAUAUUGGCUAAUUCAUUAUUUAUUUUGAUUGUUAACAUUAAUCACAGACUAUUACCUUAGUUACUUUAAUCUUAUGAAAGUUUAGUUUUUUGCUCUAGGGGUUGAUUGGACUGUUUAAAUUUUGUAGAACCCUGUGGUGCUGCCGGUUCUUGAAGAUAAGGUAGCUCUCAAUCGAAAGCGUGUUCCUACCCAGAAGGUGGUUCCCAGGAAGGAAAUUGAAAAGCAGGCACCAGAGGAUUUGGUGAUUAUAAGUUCUGAUGAAGAAGAAAAGGAUAAAUCUGUAGAAGGGCGGAAGGAAGUCAAGACUCUGACUUCGAUCCUCACAGCCCGAAGCAAGGUGAUUUUUCAUGUUCUUUUGGCAUAAUGUGUGUUGAGCUUCUAACUUUUCUGUUUUGGUCCUUUUGGAGUACUGAAUUUUAGUUUGCUGCAGGCCAUGGCUCUUGGAGUGAACAUCAAGCCAAAAGAAAAGAUUGUUGAAAUAGAUUCAGCCGAUGUCAACGAUGAAUUAGCAGUGGUUGAAUACAUUGAUGACUUGUACAAGUUCUACAAGCUCACUGAAGUAUGUUGUAUUCCCUUUCUCCCUCCCUCCCCGAUUCAAUUUUCCCUUUUCCUAACUCUUAUCUUAUAAAAUGAAAAUUCCGUAUGCAGGAUGAUAGCCGAGUUCAUGACUACAUGGACUCGCAGCCAGAUAUAAAUACAAAGAUGAGAUCAAUCCUCAUAGACUGGUUGAUAGAUGUUCAUCGGAAAUUUGAACUGAUGCCUGAAACCUUCUACCUGACUGUGAACAUACUUGAUCGAUACCUUUCGAAGAAGAUCGUUUCUAGGAGGGAACUUCAGCUAGUUGGCAUUAGUUCCAUGGUCAUAGCAUCCAAAUAUGAAGAAAUCUGGGCUCCACAGGUGUGUUUCUUCACUUGUUUUAGUAAGAAUUCAUCUGAUUUCGGACAUUGUAAUUUGAUCUGAAAUUUGAAAGUGGGGUUUCCGAUAUGCAGGUCAAUGACUUUGUUUGCUUGUCAGACUAUGCAUACACUGCCAAUCAGAUACUGCGCAUGGAGAAAGCAAUUCUGGGGAAGCUGGAGUGGUAUCUGACAGUUCCAACCCCUUAUGUCUUCCUGUCUCGAUACAUCAAAGCAUCUGUUUCGCCUGACGUGGAGGUAGUUAAUUUUCUGUGGUUUUUCAGAAAAACAGAAUCAUACUUCAAAACUCUGUUUUUGGUGAACUAACAAAAACUAAUUUGCUUUUCUUACUGAUCUAAUGCAGAUGAAGAACAUGGUUUUCUUUCUAGCUGAGCUCGGAAUCCUGCAUUAUCCGACUAUCAUUCUGUACUCCCCAUCCAUGAUAUCUGCUGCCGCUGUCUAUGCUGCACGUUAUACUCUGAAUAAGAUUCCUGUCUGGACUGAAACUUUGAAGCACCACACUGGCCACUCUGAAGAACAGUUGAGGUAAACCACAUUUGGAAUCUGUAUGUGUAGCUGUGAUCGGCGAAACAGAUAAACAGGUGUAUAUUUAGUAAUUCGAGUGUGUUCUUUGACAUCCAACAGGGACUGUGCCAAGCUCUUGGUUGGCCUUCACUCGAAUUCUGCAGAAAGUAAACUUCAAGCAGUUUACCGGAAAUUCUCAAGACCAGAGUAUGGUGCUGUUGCUCUUUUUGUUCCAGCCAAAAGUUUUCACUCAUCUUCAUGAAGUGUUGCUUCUGAGUCCUGUUUACCUUCUGAGUCCUGUAUAUCGUCAGUUUUCAUAUUGUCAUUGUUGUUGCUACAACAAUAUAGCCAUUUUAAUGUGUGUUCAAAUUUAGCUGUAAACAUCAGUCAUGGUGCAAUUUUUUCUUGCAAUUCAAUCUGCGAUUUCGAUUUUGAUCUUGCAGUACAAAAUUGCAUUAUAUUAAUGACAAUAGUAUUAUUGAUUCGAGUACCAACUGUGAUCGAUUAUCAUGAAUUGCAUUGUUAACUACUGUCUACAACAUUCCUCGAACCUCAGGAUCCCGUAAAUAACUGAAGUACACCACUGAACCCUAACAGUGGACAAUGCAUACUCCAAUCUAUACAAUCUACAAAAGAAAAUACCUUUACUCUUCCUCCGAACUUCAAUGCUCAUGUUCUAGGUUCUUCCCAACACAUACGUCUUAUGAACUGCACAAAUCGUAAGAGCCUCGGGGUUAAGCGUUUUCCAGUUGUUUCUUGACCACUGGACAUUUCUGCUUACACUGGUACAGAUAUACAAGUCACCCAAGCAUCAGUUGGUCACUUUAACAUGGCUUGUGACUUUGCGAAAUCACGAGCAAAGAUGAAUUCUGAAACCAGUCAUCCAUAAAGUAUCAGGCCUCAUGGAUUAACAACGAAAACUCAUCAGUGCUGUUGUACAAGGGUGUAUGAAUAUGAGAUUCAUGGUGAAAUUAUUCAUAACUGAAACACUCUAAAGUAAUAGAUGAAUGGAAGCGCAGGUUGGGUCAAAUGUUUAGACACCUUCCAACAUCGCCAACCAUUUUCCUUCACGUAUGUGUUUAUAAUUGGAGUAGCAAGUAGAAACCAUGCUAUAGGAUUCUAAAGAACCUUAAGGAUUUGGACUACUGAAUCACAAAGUAGGCUUUCGAGAAUACAUACCCUUGUUCCAGCGAUGAUGGUGCUGUUGAGAGGAUGAACUGCACAUGCAGUAACUCUUUCUGACAAUGGAAGAAACCUGUUUUUCUUAUCUUGUUUCUUUACCCCAGAACGAUUUUGUGCAUCGUCUCUACAAGAUUAAAACAACUAUAGGAGAAGGGGAAAAGCAAUUGAAGUAAAUGUCACAUUUCUACUCUCAUGUAACCAUCCUUGUCAAGUAAAAAGCGCUAUUAGUUCCGCUGAAUGUUAAUAACAGUUCAUAUUAUGUAUUUGAUAAGAAACCCUCAGCCGCAGAGGCUGAUGGUCACAUUCCUGUUCUUAAGUAACCAACCUUAUAAUUUAGGUCUUACGCCUAGGUAGACCUUAUGGCUAAUUGACAUACUAGUAAGUUGUAGAGUUUCGUACUUGUAGUCCAUAUGGCUAGGAGAGCUUGAAUCGGGAUAGAAAUCCAAAAUAUAAAUCCCAUUGUCAGUUGAUGAUCCAACCACAUAGAUCUGCAUUAGAAAACAUCGGAGUAGCCUAAUACUUAGUUCGGUGUAAAAGUGAAAAUUUUAAGACAUUUCUGUACAAUACCAACGAUUGUAGGAUUGCUACAGGUACCAACGAUUGUAAUCAACAAAUUUAGAAAUGGCUUGAAGUAUCCAAAGCAGCACUGAGUCCUUACCGAAUUUAUUGGCGGCCAUGAAGGUUUUCUCAAAUAUAACAGAUCAGCUGAAAUACCAGAAUCAUUUCUAUGCCAUCAGAAUGAAAAGGAAACAUUAAACAAAUAGAGCAAUUAAGCACAAAGUUACAGUGUUUCUGAUAACACUUGAAUGAGUAAUACUUACAACCAAGCAGGCGGAGGACAAUGCAUAUGUGUAACUUGAAAAUUGUAAACAUCCAAAACACCUGACCUGCAAUAAGCGAGGCGCGAGCAAGAAGAAACGUAGAUUGAGUUAGAAUGGUGCAUCGGUGAUUCUGCAGCAUGCUAUAAAGUGAUUCCUGAUUCUAUUUGUUCCAGUUCUAUCAGAAUCCAUUUUUAUAUUUUGGAUCAUGUACUUCUGUUCAAGAGUUGUUCUACCCCAUACAUUAAGCACACAUUCCUAUUGUUUUCUAAGGCACGUUUCCCUUUUGUUGUAAACCAAAUCUCUUGUAUUUUCUUAAAAGAAAAGUUAUCAAGCGUCCGACGUAUUCAGAACAGUAUCCCGACUGGAUCAGCUAGGCUCAUACUGUCAGGCAAUUGCAGCCAGGGGCAGGGUUUUUAUUUGAAAAUUAGCAUAAAAAAUUAAGCAACAAUGUCAAUUGAUGCGGGGAAGAUGGAUCGAGAUUUAUGGAGUGUAUCUCCUUAGAAACAAUGUCUGAUUGUGCCUGAAAAACAAUGAGCAUUUGUAUGACCCGCUAGCAAUUCUGUUAUGUCUAGUUCAUGUUUGUAUCUUUAUCGAUUCAAGUCCAUUCACUUUUACAAAUUAUUUUCUCAUGCUAAUUUUCCCCGAUACACGUAUUUUCCGCCAUAAUUCAAAUUUCCAAAGUUCUAAACGUUUCCAUUGUAGAAAAAUUCAAAAUUCUUGUGAGAGGGAUUUGCGAAUACUUUGAAUAAGUCAUUUAAAAAUCUCUCUUUCAUACAUUUGUAAUGCUCAUGAAAGACAUUUACGCUCCUUGACACACCUGACCCUGAUAUUCUCCCUAACACCAGGGUAGGUACGUACUGGCCGACACCCGAAGGUGACGAAGCCAUAUUAGAAUGCAUGAGAACAAGAAAUAUAAAUAAAAGUUAUGAAUUUAAAUAUAAUGAAUAUGCAAUUGAGGAACGUGUUCAGAGCAUACAACUAACUAGAAUACUAAAAAGAAAUAAUAUAAAACUAAAUGAAUAAAAGAAUGGGUCAUACACCGAGAGGACUCGAAGGUGCCAAUGCGGGAGUGCCUUGACGUUGGGAUUGUAUGCCUCGAUUCUAAAUCAUGAGGGGGCUCAAAACAAAAAUGGACCAAGUUGAUAUAUAUAUAUAUAAUACGAAAACAGUUAUUCAAUAACAUACUAACCCCAAAAGUUUUAUGAAAAUUCAAUAGUAUAAUAUGUAAUAGGUUUUUCCAAAAACCCUAGCAUGCCAUAAAACCUUUCAUAAAACAUAUCUCGUACCCGGCCCAAUGCCAGCUUCUAUGUCUCUGCACCCGUAGCCAGAGAUUAUUUCUCCCGGCCCAAUGCCAGCUCCAUAUCUCUCGGCCCAGAGCCAGAGAUUAUUUCUCCCGGCCCACAGCCAACAACCAUAUACCUCGCCCGUGGCGGUAUAGUGACCACUAGAUAAGCACAAAACCAUUUAACAUAGACUUUCCAAACAUAGGUGUGUGUGUGUGUGUGUGUGUAUCUCUCUCUCUCCAAAACAUCUUCAUAGUAUAAAGUUAUCCAUCAUCUAUAUUAUAAACAAGUGUGCAAAAGCAUGUUCAUAAGCAGUAUAAAGUCAUCUAUCAUCUAUACUACAAAGAACAUGAGUUCGAUAAAAUAUGGUAAUUCAGAAUAUUCUCAGUAAGCAUAAUAUCUCAUAAAACGUUUCACAAAACAUAAUCAUUAAAUCAUGUUUUUCAUGUAUGCAUUUCUACUAUUAAAACAUGCAUUUUAAAAGGGGUCCACUCACAGAUACUUGGCCGCAGAAGAGCCACGCAAAUUAGCGAAGACUGAAACGCCACAAUAAAUGCACCUAAGCACAUAAAGAGUCCAAUUAUAAAACUUUAUUCAAACGAUUGAAUUUGGGAAAACGGACAUAACAAUGGAUUCAGGACGUCGAAUUACCCCAAGAAGGGCCCCAGUAAAUUUCCUAAAAGUCAACUAAAAGUCAACACAAGAAUAUUCUAGGAAUAUUCCCCAUAAAGGGUUUGGACUGGUUAGGGUUUAGGGUUUUGGACUUGGGUUACGGUUAGGUUAGUGGGUUAGGGCCUAGGCUAAAAGGGUUUUGGGCUUGAAUGGGCUGGCUUGGUAGUAAUUAUAAUGCACCACAAAGUAGCACACAAUAAUCCUAUUAAUUUUCCUUAUUAACACUAAGAUUUGUCAAUUGUAGCAUAUGAAAAUAAGGGUAUUUCCCGCAGAAGAUUGUUUUAUCCAAAUACUUAAAAAUGUCACAAAAACAGGGUGGCUGUCUCCACUGACCAGCCACCGAACAAUAAUUAUUAAACUAACUUACACUUAUCCAAAUGCAACGAAAUUUUAUACACAUAAACUAGACACACAGUACAACAGUCUCACAAAUUUUUGGGAGUUUUGGAUUUGAUUUGCUAUUUAAAUUAAAUCGUAGAAAAACAGUAAAGAAACAGAUUUUAAAUAAUACCAAUAGAUUUUAAUUCACAAGUUAAGAAAACGAGUUAGGGGACAUGCUAUCCACCACCAAAUAAUCAUGUAAGUAUGUUAUGUUUCAUUCAAAUCCCUUUUAUUUCCGGAUGAAGAUGCUCAAGUUGGCUCAAUGUUAGAACUCAACCUAUUACUCUUUCUUACGUAGUAUGUUAAGAGAAUGGCGUUUUCAACUUAACUUAGUCCCUAGCAUGCAAUCCAGAAUGGCGUGUUCAUAGAUUUAACAAGUAGAAAUCAUUAAGAAUAAAAAGAGUUUGAGUCAUCACAAGGCAUCGUAAGUACUGGUGUUGUCUUACUUAUCCUAGAAAUCGUUUCACAUGUUAACCACAAUUAACAAGUGCUACUCUAGAACAUAUGUAGGUCCUCAUUCAACAAGGGCAGACACACAUAUAUUCAUAGCAUUAAAAUCCUAGAUAUGCUCACUAUGUAUGCAUCCAUAGAAACACAUAAGAAUUUAUCAAUGACAUAAGUAGUGAAACAAUUUUCAUCCUUUCAUAAAAGUCAUUCAAACAAAAUAUCACAACAUACUUACGAUCCUAUUCGGGGCUUCAAAACAGCCCCUAACUACUAAAAAUUAGUUACACAUCAUUAUCAAAUUAAACCAAAAGUAAAAUAUCAGUUUGGGAAAAUAGAACCGAAAUAAGAGAGUGCAGAGGUUUCCUCUUUCCCUUGCCAAGCAGUGGCGUGAGCUCUCUAUUUUUCUUCUUCUUGUUUUUCUGCUCUCUGUUUGCUCUCUACGCUUCCUCUGCUUUCGUUUCUUCCUCUCUGUCUUCUCUCUAAUUUUUCUGCUCUUUUUCUCCCUUCUGCUCUCCGAGUCUUGCUUUCUGUUUCUUUUCCCCGAGGCUCAAGCUGCGCAAGGCAGCUUGCUACUUCCCCCAAAAUCACGUCCUCCUUACUGCUCUCUGCCCUCUCUUCUAUAUAUUUUUUUUCUUCUUUUCCCUUUCUUCUUUUCCUUUUCUUCUUUUCCUUUUCUUCUUUUGUUUUCUUCCUCUCUAUCCGUUCAUUUUCUUCUCCCUUCAAAACAAGAAUCAUGAUGAUGUUUCCAAACAUCAUCAUGACUUAUCAUUAUUAUUUUUUUAUUUAAUUUAAAAGCUGUUCUACACAAACAGUUUUGACGAAUUUAUUACAUAAAAUUUCACUUGUUCUAUUUUUAUUUUCUUUGCUAGACAAAUCCUAUAAUACGCAAAAACAAAGUAAAUAGCUCAAAAAUAUAAGGAACUAACUAAUAAAAGACAAGUGAAAUUUAUGUAAAAUAUAUAUAAA
RNAcentral lists this long non-coding RNA (69563 nucleotides) under Malus domestica (apple). Its description in RNAcentral is "long non-coding RNA (MDOM_LNC002313)". Lineage: Eukaryota; Viridiplantae; Streptophyta; Magnoliopsida; Rosales; Rosaceae. The record is from RNAcentral.